RNAcentral lists this long non-coding RNA (62745 nucleotides) under Sorghum bicolor (sorghum). Its description in RNAcentral is "long non-coding RNA (SBIC_LNC016300)". Lineage: Eukaryota; Viridiplantae; Streptophyta; Magnoliopsida; Poales; Poaceae. The record is from RNAcentral.
GGGGCCAGGGGGGUCUCCUUAUAUAGUCCUCCCCUUCUAUGCAUUUUUGGGUCGAUAGGCGAGGUGGUACUAUGUUUUCCUUGAUCUAAUAGGUCAGUGGAACAUCCCGAGCGAAGAGAGUCCUGAUCUGGUUCCAACAGGGGGCGGGCGCCCAGGUCACCAGGGCGGCGCCCUAGGCCUGGCCCCGUUUCGCCUCCGCUUCGGUCUCGUGGCUUCUGGAGUCUUCUAGAUGGUAGAAAAUUGCGCGGUGCGUUGAUAUCUCUAUGUAAUCCUGACAUGUGGCCCUUUCUUCCUUAUUUCCUGAUAACCCCCUGCAGAAAUAGACAAACACCAAAACUCGUGGAAUUCUGUCAGAUAAAACCCUAAGUCUAGAUGUUGAUUUCAUUUGGAUCCUUUUCUUUGUUUAUUUGAUAAUUAAAUUUGAUACUUAAGGACCGUCAACAAGCUCCCCCAAGCUUACCUCUUGCUCGUCCCGGAGCAAGGAUAGACUCAGCAAUGGAUUAGAAGUUGUUGCAAUAUCUUUUAAAAAUUGAUGGUACACAUGCUUUUUAAAUAAGAUCUCAUCUCUGAGUUAGAGUAAACUGUCAAGACUUAAAACUUACUUUACCUUUACCAUGGGACUUGUAACUGUCACUUCUGUCUUGAGAGGUUAAAAGAUAGAACAGUCUAGCCAAGUGCCAUGUCUCUUAUUCUUGAUCAGCUAUAGCUCUGGGUUUUUUGCAGAUUUUCAAAUAAAACUCAGAGAUUCCUUGUAUGACUCUCUAAAUCUCUCUUUUGUGGUAUUUCUGGAUCCUUACCAAGGCAGUGAUGGUAUAUGACUUCUCUCAAGAUAUGUGGUAUUUGUGGUAUAAGGCAUAGUGACAUUGCCUUCUCUCUCACCCUACUCUAAUAAGGCUUUAAUAUCUGGAGCUCAUACGUGGGAGAUAAAGUAUACACACUUACAAGACAUUUACUGUAUAGUCAAACUAUGGAUCCAAAGAAACAAAUCAAUAAGCCAAAUCAAGAUGUGCAUGUGUGGCGAAUGAAUGGUGUAUGGUGAUGAUGGUGAUAACAAUGGUGAAAGUCUAAUUCUACUUUUGCUAUUUUGAGGGGAUACAUACCUUCCUUGCUUUUUGAAACUUUAUGAGGAGAAUGAGAUGCUCUUCUUUUUCUUUCCUCUCAGGUGGGUAUCUUGUACCCCUAAUUCUACUGUCGGACACUUGUCCAUCUUUACCUCUCGUCUUACUUUUUCUUUCUUUCGAGGUUCUGGGCACUUGCCCCUUUUUAUUUCCUCAUUUAUAUAUUUUAUUUCUUUUUUUUUCUCUUUUUUUUUCAGAGCACUCAUCUCUUGAGAUAAUAUAGCAAGUGGUAGUAACCGAAAUAUUUGGAGCAUUUAUUUCACAGGGAAUAACAGGGAUAGGAAAAUGUUUUUGACUAUUCUCUCCCGGAUUAGGAGUAGAAUAUUUUUGGGUGAUUCUGGAGAUGGAAAUUGAUGGAUAUAUGUGGAUGGUACUUCCGGAGUAGAAGUAGCAUAUAUGAGUGAACGUGCAAGUGAAUCUUGAUUUAACCACAUGACAAGCUCCUAAGGGUCUACACAGCUUGACCACACUCAAUGCUCAUAAGCAGUAAAAAGUAAAUGUAUCGUUCAUAGUCUAAUAAGCAUGUACAUAUGGCUGUGGUAGGAUUUUAAACUCUCAUCAUACAGAAACUCAUCAUGCAACAUUUCAAAGAUUUUCAAAGAUAAAAUUCUCCAGAAUUCUAGCAUCUCUAGGAACAGAUAAACAGCAGCUCAACCUUCCCAUAUCGUAUCCGUUAACAACUUAGACUUCAGAUCAAGUUUUCAUCCCACAAGUUUAGGUCUAGAGCAAGAUUUAAAUUAUAACAGUUAUGUCUAAACUUGAGAGAGAACUUCAAAAUUGCAAAUUAGGCAGAGCAACUAUUCAUCAUAUCCAUGCUAGAGUUUUAUUAUUAAGAUUCAGAUUAGCAUAGCCACUUUAUUUAUUUAUUAAACAUACAAAGCAAAAGAUAUAUAUAAGCACAAAAUCUUUAUUUGGUUUUUCAUAGUUGAUGUAUUUUAAUAUUAUAACAUAAUAUAAGUAUAAAGAUAGGUAGAAAUACUUAGCGAGAAUAAUGGGGGUGCUUUCCCCCAAGCUGAAUUUUGACGUAAUUUCUCUUGAUGUAGCUAGCAGGUGGCAGAAGUGUAUUUGAAAGUCAGCAGCAUUCUGACAACGAUUAGAAUGUCCUCCAUCUGCUAGUUUUCUUGAUUCUUAAAUUUUGUGGAGCUCAAAUAGACAACAAAGCUUGUGGAACUAAUUAAGUGUUAGCAUAAAUAUCUAGCCUUCAUCAUGUUGAGCUUUCUUAAUAAAUAUUAUUUAUUUAGCAGGAUCAUACACUUAUUAUUAUAUAUAUAUAUAUUUAUAUUUUUUUGUAAGAUGAAAACUUAUUUAUUUUAUUUUUUAUGCCACCACAGUGAAUGUACUUAUGGGUUUUAUGCCAUGAGCAUACUCACAUGGGGUUUACUAUUUUUUAACAUUUUUAUUUUCUUUUCAAUAUAGCAUGAACCUGAUUAACUAAGCAAAUUAUAAUUGAAUAAUUGAAAGGAAAGGGUAACUACCAAGUUUACCUCUUGGCAAGGCGUUCGGUAUUUUUAUGUCCUCCUGAACGGGACUCUCUGUUUUCUCAGUCGUCCUGGGAUUCGCUAGGUGGCGUAGUCGGUGAUUCCGGCGGCGCCUCUCUUCUUGUAUAACUAUCUUCUCCCUCCACACCUGACUCGGUGCUACGGUCUCCUCAGGACAGUUCUGUUCAAGCUGUAUGUCUUCAGUCCUCAUCACUUCUCAUUCGUAGUCUACCCAUCCGUUCUUGAUGAUUUGUCUCCUCUCGUUGCGGUUGCGUCGUCUUCUUGCUCUGACCUGCUUAGAGUCUUCAACUAUAUAGUUAUGGUCAGUAAAAUAGUUGCGUACCUUCUCAGAGGGGAAGUACAUGUGGACUUCUCCGGUUCCAAUGUAGAUGAUUGCUUUGAUAGUGUUGAGGAACGGUCUUCCAAGGAUGGUGGGUGGAUCAUAUUCGUCUUCUCCCAUGUCAAUGACCUGAAAAUCAUCUGGAGCUGAAUAUAUUGGUUGUAGGGGCAUGGUUCCAUGCAGGAGCUGAUAAGUGACUGCGGCCAUUAUGUUGUCGUCAGAUCCGGUGUCGUAGAGUGUCUUCUAAAAAGAGUAUCCAUUGAUUGCGCACUCGAUGCUUGGAACACCAGGGUCGUCCUUCUUGAUCAAGAAAGGUGACUUGGGUCGACGAUGUUGACCUCUUCCGACAAGGAUCCAAUGUUUUAAGUCUUCUGGAUAAGACUUUCCACCAUCUUCAUCCUUUAGGUGCAUCAUUUGAUUAGGUGUGGACCUUGACGUCUGCAUCUCUUGAUACGGUGUCACCCAUGUUCUUCUUUGCCCAACAGUUCGAAGUAUGGUGUUGGCAAUAUCCUGCUCAGUGUGUUUUUUUUUUCUUGAAGUGUACCUGUUCAUAGAGACAAGGCAGAGAUCAAGUGCAUGGGCUCUGUUGGUGGAAAACACCAACAGAACCAAAAGUGUAUUUGUUUUUCUCUAACCUUAAGCAUAGUGAGCAAGACAAAGUUGAUGGAUAAUAAGAUCAUGAGUGUAGUAUUUGAAACAUUUGUCAGAUCAGAUGGCUCAACCUAAUGGAAAGAUAAUCUAUCUAUAUUUAUGUUUUGUUUAUAUCUUUCAAAUAUUGAAUGUGCAACAUAUUAGCUUAUAUGUUUAGGAGCGUGGGAUCACGAAGGUAGUACUAAGAACAAAGAUUAAAGGACUAAACAUGUUGAAUUAAUUGAGUUGGUUAUCUGGAGUUAUAAAUCAUACAUGUUUGUCUCUUCAUUUAUGUGAAUGCUAGAACCAAGGAGAAGCUUAUAAAAGUGAUAGUCAAGUACCUUAAGGUGUUACCUUACUUGAAGAGUGACGGUACAGUAUCACCUUGUGGAAGCUUUCCUUUCUUAGUGGUUGUGCAUCGUGUUUGUGGCACCCUCCAUGAAUCAUCUCUUAUGAGCCACGUCUUUCUUGUGCAAAUUGUUAAACUUCAUGUGUCACUUUCUUCAUCUCCAAUGCGAGUUUAUCUCAGGACAUCCUAGGUUGAUAUUGAAAGUUUUCCUGCAGGGGUUAGUCCAACAAAAUAUCCCAUAUCUACUAUAGCAUACUAUCGGCUUAAAAUCAACCUAGACACCAUGUCUAAUUUGAUUUAGAAGGGCAUUUUAACCUAAGCACCAUGCUUAAUUUAAAAUCCCUUGGAAGUAAGAUCAUCAUUCCUAAACUAAGCACCAUGCUUAAUUAAGAGAUAAAUGAAACUAUUCCAAACCUAGACAUAUACUAAAGCAAAUAAAGGUAGCAUGAGAGCAUUUAUAGAGAUCUACUUAAGUGGAGAUAAAGUAGUGUAAUUAGUAUUUAACAAAUUGAGCAUGUCUCAAAGGUAAGGACAACCAACGUAGCAACAUGGCAAAAGAUGUUUUUAUGUAAAGUACUCCCCCAAGCUUGAAUUUUACAAAAUUCAAGUUUGGAUGAAUUUAAUUCAAUGUUGUGUGAUGGUUGGUUGGACAUACCUUGUGCUUGUCAUUCAUCCGAUCUUCUUGCUCCAAUCCUGGAAAGGUUAGUGACAAGAAUACCCGAAGGAAUAUUUCUACAAUUAUCUUGAUAUGCUCAAUACACAAGGCAAUGUUGCAAAUAAUUAGAAGUUCAUGUUAUGAUAUGAAAAGUGCUUGUUUUAGGACACUAAGCUUGUCUUUGGGAAACCAUCAAGUUAUGUUGGUGAAGUGAUUUCCCCUCCAACACCUACCUAUAUCAAGAUCAACUCAACGAGAUCUGCAAUAUUUAUUAUAGACAUAUGCAUCGACAACCGCCCUUUUAAAGUUUUUAUAAAUGAAGAGGAAGAGAGGGUUGGAGAUCUCAAAUGUGGUAAGGAUGGAGAGACAAAUUGAUUGGAGAGAUGUUUUAUAUGAGCAAGGACUGGGUGAGGUAUUUAUGAAAUAACUUCCAUGCUCACUGUUGUUUCUCUUAUUCUUAAACUCCAAGGAUGAUUCUUCAUGAAUGCUUAAAAUUCCUCUAGGAUUGUCUCUCAAGUUUAUUUUAUCUAUCCACUCAAUGGUGAUAGCACAUGGAUUUUUAAUGCCCUCUAGCCAUUGAUGUUGCUCUUCUCGAUUCUCCUUCUUAUGCAUGGGAUGUCUAGAGAGAUUCAUAGGAUUAUCGGGAGGUUCAAGAGAAAAAGCAUAGUAGAAAAAGCAUAGUAGAAAAAGCAUAGUAGAGACUCAAAGUUAUCUCAGCAAACCGUCUUUCUCCCCGGCAACGGCGCCAGAAAUGCUAGUUGAUAUUUGGUAACGCAAUAAGGAAACGAUCCGCAAGCGCAGGGAUAUCGGUGAGCAUUUCACCCGGGAGGUUAUCCAGAGUUAUCGUAUUUAUAUUUUUACCACUGGGAGAAAGGGUGCAUCUGACUAACCAAAUCUAUUGCUACUAUCCCUUUAGGCUACAAAGAAUGUCUUUCGAUAUGAGUGAUAAAUAGAGAAGACUGCAACCGUAGUCUCCUUCUAACCUUGGUAAGGAUAAUCUACUGUUCUAAUGGGGAGGCUAACGGAAUCUAGACACCACAAAGGAUGUUCAACCCGCACCUAUAAACCCUAUCCUUCCUGCUAACGAGAUGUGAUCUGCAAAGGAAACUCGGAAUUGUCACGUUCCUCACUACUACCACGGUCCAGCUAGUCAGGGAAUAUCUAUGAGUACCCCAGCCUAAACACCACGUUUACGCCAGCAAUGAUUACUCUAAACUCUACGCGAAGAGAUUAAAGUAAACUCAUAAACCAUAAGAACAAUAAAACAAGAACUUACUAGAAUUUAGAAGUCGAAAUACUGAAGAAUCCUAGGAGCAAGCUUCGGGAUAGGAGAACUUGAUCCCGCAGGUACAAGCUUGGAGUAGACACCGACAGGCCGGGCUUCCUCCAAUCUACACCUCCACUCUAUCUCUCUCAAUCUAGUAGAAACUAGAAGAUCUAUUUCUACCUUACAUUGGUUGCUAAGCCUAAAAAGAAAUAUUAAUUAGAGAAGAGGUUUUCCUUCGAGGGCACCCCUCAAUCUCUAUGAUAAUUUCUUCAUGUCUUCUCCAGGGGCCAGGGGGGUCUCCUUAUAUAGUCCUCCACUUCUAUGCGUUUUUGGGUCGAUAGGCGAGGUGGUACUAUGUUUUCCUUGAUCCAAUAGGUCGGUGGAACAUCCCGAGCGAAGAGAGUCCAGGUCACCAGGGCGGGCGCCCAGGUCACCAGGGCGGGCGCCCUGGGCCUGGCCCCGUUUCGCCUCCGCUUCGGUCUCGUGGCUUCUGGAGUCUUCUAGAUGGUAGGAAAUUGCGCGGUGCGUUGAUAUCUCUAUGUAAUCCCGACAUGUGGGCCUUUCUUCCUUAUUUCCUGAUAACCCCCUGCAGAAAUAGACAAACACCAAAACUCGUGGAAUUCUGUCAGAUAAAACCCUAAGUCUAGAUGUUGAUUUCAUUUCGAUCCUUUUCUUUGUUUAUUUGAUAAUUAAAUUUGAUACUUAAGGACCGUCAACAGCGUUGAUAUGACACCCUUGCUGCAUAAUGACUACCUUGUCCAUCUCAUAUCUCACCUAAGUAGGUCCAGGAUCGAAAUAACGCUUAGCCAUGCUUAGCUCGGUAGAAGCCGGGUGAUUUCCUGUCACCUGCGAGAGUUAGGUGGAUGAUGAUCACGGUUGGCUAUAUUUGCUAUCGUGAAAAUAAACAUGAGCUAAUAAUGAACUUAAGACCGGGCGGGAUGACGAUAGUGCAGCAACAAGGCAUGGAGGUCUUGGGUGUGAAUCUAUCCCAGUCUGUGUCGUUUAAGGACCGAAUCGCUGUACGUCCCUGUGUCAUGUUGAACGCAUGCCUAUCUCUUAGUUGGCCGGAUAAGUCGUUCCGACCGUGAAGCCUACGAGUGCAUCUCCAGCCGGAUACCCCGUUCGGUUUAAGUGCGCACCCCGGUUGGUAGCAAGGAUGUGCGGGGAGUCAAUGGCGUAAGACCGAGGUGUCAGGUUAGAGCCCUGACCCUGGCAGAUUGGCGGUCCCUGGGGGUGCGGCGCUGUACGAACCCGCGAAUUGGUCCGGAGUUGUGCUAAAGGUGAUCCGAGCUGCCGUCAUGAAGUAUGCUUGGGUGAGUGUUAGGAAUACCCCUUCAGCUGGAUAGGAAUCGAUUCGAAUCGCCGUCUCUCCCAGAUAGUGAGAACUUGACUUGGGCAGCGGCAACGUAGAAUUCACUAAGUAAACAUAAUGGUUAUGAUGAGAAUGUUGAUAGCAAAGUGAUAAUCCGGAUAUGGUUAUUAUUGUGAUGCUUAAAUAUUCAAGUGUAUGCUUAGAACAGGUGCUAAUCUAGUGGAUAGUUGUUAAGUAAUAAACCUACUGCUGAAAUAUUAUUAAAUGGGUCACUUACAACAAAGGCUUUUUAUGCAAAAGGUGAGUCAAACCUGUCCACCAAGAUCAGCCUUGCAUACUCCUUGGUGUCACUUUAUUUCUAGUUUAUGACGGGUAAGUCUAGCUGAGUACCUUCUCGUACUCAGGAUUUUAUUUACCCCUGUUGCAGAUGAUGUCGUUUAUCAUGGCUACUGUGCUAACUGCCAUCAUCCGGCUGCGGACGAUGAAUAGAUCAUGGGCGUGAUCACCUUCUAUAUCUUCGGUUGUGCUUUUGUUGGGUUUGACCAUGGAACUGGCUUGUAAUAUAAACUGAGUGUGUGAUGUUCAAAACUACUUUGUUUCCGCUACUACUCUGGUUUGUAAUAACCACUUUUAAUCUCUGAUGUGAUGUAAAACUAUGUUCAGUGAUGAAUGUAUGUAAUCUGUGAUGGUGAUGCUUGAUCAUGUACGAUCUUGGUUGUAUGUUGGUUGAAUCGAGGUCUUUUGAAAUUUCGUCGGACUACGGGGUUUAUAUGGGUUCAAGUCCAUUGGCUUGACUGCCUCUGUGGUCGCUAAUUCACUUGAAUUCUUAUAAAUUGGACGGUUCUGUUACAGCUGGCAUCAGAGCAAGAUUAAGCAUUUAACCAUCAUAGAUGUAUUUAAAAACAAAUGAAUUUGGUUUCCACAAGCUAAUUUGGCAAAUUAGACUAUACAUAGGGCUGUUUAAAAAUUUCUUAAUAACUUAUACCAUGCCAGUGGUCAUACCCUUUAUGCCCAUAUAAGGACUUCUAGGUGGCUUAAUAUUACUAACAUGGGGGUUUUUCCUUUCGUCGUCCAUAUGGCGUAUAAUUAUAUGGAUACCGCUUACUUAAGUGGUAAUGAAUGGAUCACAUACCUCUAUGCCAUGGUAAGCUUUGUUUGUUUUCUUUCGUCAUCCAAACGGCGUGAAAUUGUAUGGAUGCCACUUGCUUGAGUGGUAACGUAUGGAUCUAUAUGCCUCUACGCUACGGUAAGUGUGAGCUGUGAGAGCAUGACCGUCCAACCGUCGGUCUAGGGGAGUGUUAGUUGUGGUUACUGGAAUAUUUACAUGUUUUACACAUGUAUAUAUGAAAGUACUUAAUUAUGGGUAGUAGGUGCAGCCAUGUAUACAUAUUUGAUGUAUAUGUGGGUGUAUCCAAAAUGGGUAGUGUGCUGCGAUAUAUAUUCAGGAAUAUAUAUCGGAGUACCUAGCUUGAUUGUUGAUGAUUGGAUUUACAUUUCUGCACAUAUACUAUUGUGGGGUUGGGCUGCAAUGAAAUUUUCUGCAGGUACACUAACAAUGAAACGUGUAGACUGUGCAGUUGCGUAUAAGGAGUGCAUGUAUGUAUGCCACCGACUAAACUGUUAGAACCUUCUUCUAGGAAUGGAAAGGACGUAUGGAACGUGCAUGCAUCAUGAAUCAUUCAUACAUUCCUUAUGCACUACUUAAGUAUUAAAUUCUAAAAUAUAUCUAUUUACCUUUCCUUGUAAUUAAUCUCCCUUACUCAAAUGUGGUCUUUCUACAGAUGGCAACCCCACACGCAAGUGAGACUUUCCUAGACAUGUUUGGCACUCCUACUUUGUUGUGGAGGGUGCUAAGCUCAGUUGGAUAUGAGGAACCACCAAAGUACACUUGGACCGAGUCUGAGCCUUACCUUGGGUGAUGUCUAAAUUACAGUUCCCCCUUGUCCAAAUAACCCACAGUGGCUAGGUUGGAUAGUAGACUGCGAUGGCCAAACUCCUUGGGAGGGUGCCCAAGUAGCAGCCUUAGAAGUAUUGCUGGAUAUAUGCUAAGAUUAUGGUGAUGAGCUAGUGAAUGGACCAGCUCGAUCCAUCCCUAGAGUGAGUGUGACUGACACAUUUGUGUCUCAGAUAGGAAAUGAGCCUUUAGAGAUGAGAGAAACCAUGCUAGGAUACAGCUCUAGCCCUGCCAUGAGUGCCAUGCUUGUGGUACUUAAGCUGUACUAUGUACGCCAGGACACCUACAUAGAUGCCAUGCUAGCACUCCAACAAGCUCAAGUUGGGCAGCGCAAACUGCGCAAGCGUGUGCGCAAGCACCGCAAGGCUUUUAGGGAUGCACAAGCUGAAAUCCAAAACUAUCACACCGCUUUGCAAGCCGGCCGCAACCAAGUUGAAAACGCAGUUAGGGAGCAAUGAGGCACAAGCCCGCAUGAUGCAAAUGACUAGAGAGAGAGAUGAGGCUAUGCGUUUGGCAGAGAAUAGAGAAGCUGCUAGAGUUAGAGCUUUGUUCCAUGCUGAAAUUAGAGAUGAAGAACUGAUCACUAGGAUUGCUGAGCUGCAGUUAGAUGUCCAUCGCCUAAAUAAUAUCAUAAAUCCUAUCCCACAUCCUGUCCCCUUUAAUCAUGAAGAAGCUCCAAGUGAGGAAGAUCAGGAUGAUGGCAUAAUUUCUAAUGGUGAAUCUUAGGAAGAUAUGUAGCCUAGUAGUGAUUCCAUGUUCAUGUAUCAGUUUCCAUCUCUUUAUGUAAUAAACUUCUAAUCUGUAAUUGGCCAUGGUGCCCUUUCUAUAGGACUUAAGUUGUGGCAAUGACUCUAUGUAACCCUAUACACUCAAUUGUGAUGCUCCAUAUUUAUGUUAAGCUUAAAUAAUUUCUCCCUGCAAUGACUUAAUCGUUGUGAAUUGUGGCUGUGAAUGAUCGCGAGAAUAACCAAGUGUCGUGGAUGAUAUUCUCUUGUUGUACAUGGAUUAUUGUGCCUUAAAUUAUGUGAAUUUAUUUCAUUAAAUUCCGUAUAGCAGCGAUUGAGGUUCAUGGCAAUUAUAUCUGUUGUCCUAAACGGUCACUUGGUAUGCCUUUUGCAGAUGGCUCGCAAUACUCGCUCCGGUCACAAUGAGUUGCCGCCACCACCACCUCCUCCCCUACCUACGCCUACUGAGCUCUUGGCAGCUCUUGUUGAGGGCCAGCGAAUGCUCAAUGAAGCUAUGCAGACCAUGGCGCAGCAAAACCGGGGUGGUCACCAUGUCCGUCAAGGUGGAGAGGCAAAUCAACACAGUAGUUUCAAAGAUUUCCAGGACACAAAGCCGCCACUUUUUAAGGAGGCUGUUGAACCUCUAGAAGCUGAUGAGUGGCUGAACACUCUCGAGCAGAAGUUCUGCUUGCUGAGGGUGACGGAGGAGCUAAAGGCGGAAUAUGCAGCCCACCAGUUGGAGGGCAAAGCAGGUGUCUGGUGGAGUCAUUAUAGGACCAGCUUGCCUGUUGUGACCAGGGAUCAGUUCAAAACUGCUUUCAGGAACACCUAUAUUCCACAAGGCUUGAUGACUAUCAAGCACACUGAGUUCAUGAACUUGACACAGGGCACUAAAAGCUUGAUUGAGUAUCUUCAUGCUUUUAAUAAUUUGUCUCGCUAUGCUCCCGAAAUGGUUGACACCGAAGCCAAGAAGCUUGCUAGUUUCAAGAAGGGUUGGGACCCAAGUUGUCCAAGAACAUGGCUGGUAACAAGAGUACCACCUUUAAUGAGUUUGUGAGUGAUGCAUUGACUCAAGAGAACUCCAAUGCCGUGUAUGCCGCGUCCAAGAACCGCAAGAGGGCCUAUGAGGCAGGUGCUUCACAGUCCAAGGCUCCAGCGACGAAUAAGCCGGCCUAUCGCCCACCAAAUGCUGUGACAAGGUAUAGGCCGCCGCAGAAGAUGUCAAAUGUGAAGACGGGAGUUCGCAAGUCCUUCACAGUUGCUCUUCCAAGAGGUGUCACAGGCCAAGGAGGUCCCAAGACUCCCCCUGAUAACCGUCCCUGCUUUAACUGCAAACAAGUUGGUCAUUGGGUGAGAGAUUGCCCUUAUCCCAAGAGGAAUUCUGCAGCUGGAGGUAACAACCGUACUGGCCGAGUGCACUAUAGCACUGUUGAAGAAAUCCCUGAAGGUGAAGAGGUCACCGCUGGUAUGUUUCUUGUUAAUCAACACCCUGUAGUUGUCUUGUUUGAUUCUGGGGCUUCGCAUUCAUUUAUGAGUCAAGCAUUCGCAUCUAAGCAUGGAUAACAUGUAGUUGAUCUUGACAGUGGCAAGUUCUGCAUUAGUGCUGCUAGGAACCAAAUUUCCACAAACCAAUUAGUAAAGGAUGUGAAUAUUGCUAUUGAGGGUCGUAACUUUUCAGCAAACCUUGUAAUUUUGCCGGGAUUGGGCAUAGAUGUUAUCUUAGGGAUGAAUUGGAUGAGCAAUAAUGGGGUGCUAAUAGACACCUCCACGAGGGUAGUCAUGUUGCGAGAGCCUGAUAGCAAAGAAGCCUUCUUAGUUCAGCUUCCCAAGAAUGAUGACAUCCGUCAUGCUGCCAAUGCUAUUAGACCACUCGCUGUGGCAGAGAUUCCUGUAGUGUGUGAGUUUCCGGAUGUCUUUCCUGAGGAUCUGCCCGGUUUGCCACCGGACAGGGACAUAGAGUUUAAAAUUGAUCUAAUUCCGGGUACCACACCUAUCUCUAGAAGGCCAUAUCGAAUGCCACCCAACGAAUUGGCAGAAUUGAAAAAGCAAUUGCAAGAACAUCUCGAGAAAGGUCUUAUUCGGCCUAGUUCUUCUCCAUGGGGUUGUCCGGCUCUCUUUGUCAAGAAGAAGGAAAAGUCUCUACGUAUGUGUGUAGACUAUCGUCCGCUCAAUGCCGUGACUGUUAAAAACAAGUAUCCACUGCCUCGCAUUGAUAUCCUGUUUGAUAAAUUAGCCAAGGCCAAAGUAUUCUCCAAGAUUGAUCUGAGAUCUGGGUAUCAUCAAAUCAAGAUCCGACCUGAAGACAUUCCUAAAACGGCUUUCUCUACCAGGUAUGGGUUAUAUGAGUAUCUAGUCAUGUCCUUUGGUCUGACUAAUGCCCCUGCUCAUUUCAUGUACCCGAUGAAUUCGGUGUUCAUGCCUGAACUGGAUAAGUUUGUAGUGGUGUUCAUCGAUGAUAUAUUGGUGUAUUCUAAAAAUGCACAAGAACAUGAGAAGCAUCUUCGGAUUGUACUCACUAGAUUGCGAGAACAUCAGCUCUAUGCCAAGUUCAGCAAGUGUGAGUUUUGGCUGAAGAAAGUGCCUUUCCUAGGCCAUAUUCUAUCCGAAGAGGGUAUUUCGGUUGACCCAUCAAAGGUGUAGGAGGUUCUAGACUGGAAGGCCCCAACUUCAGUGCACGAGGUUCGGAGUUUUCUCGGUCUAGCUGGAUAUUAUCGUCACUUUAUUCCGGAUUUCUCCAAAAUAGCUAAUCCUAUGACCAAGCUACUGCAAAAAGAUGUGAAGUUUGUGUGGUCCCAGGAGUGUGAAGUCGCUUUCACCACUUUACGUCAUUUGCUGACCACCGCUCCUAUUCUGGCACAGCCUGACAUUGAAAAGCCAUUUGACGUCUUUUGUGAUGCUUCUGGCACUGGCCUAGGUUGUGUGCUUAUGCAAGAAGGCCGAGUUAUUGCCUACGCCUCUCGGCAGUUGCGGAAACAUGAAGCCAACUACCCAACUCAUGAUCUAGAGUUAGCAGCAGUUGUACAUGCGUUGAAACUCUGGAGGCAUUAUCUGUUAGGUAAUCUAUGUCACAUUUACACUUUCCAUAAGAUCCUCAAAUACAUAUUCACUCAGCCCAAGUUGAACAUGAGACAAAGAAGAUGGUUGGAAUUUAUAAAGGACUAUAACCUUGAAGUACACUAUCAUCCAGGUAAAGCCAAUGUUGUAGUCGAUGCUCUCAGUCAGAAAGAACAUGUUAAACCUCUUCUAGAGGAAGGCUUCAAUUUAUUGCAUCCAGUGGUCCUACACAACAUCUUAGUCAGCUGCUCGUUAGAGAGUCAAAUCAUAGAGCUCCAAAAGUCUGAUCCUGGUAUUUUCCAUAUCAAAAGAAAAAUGCAAGAGCAAGACACCAAGCAUUUCAGGGUAGAUGAGAAGGGUGUACUGUGGUUUGACGAUCGAUUAGUUGUACCUAAAGACCGUGACCUACGCAACAAAAUUUUAGAUGAAGCUCAUUCUUCCAAGUUGUCCAUUCAUCCGGGAAGUAGCAAAAUGUACCAAGACUUGAAACCUCGUUUCUGGUGGACCAAGAUGAAGAAGGAGAUAGACCAAGAUGAAGAAGGAGAUAGCAGCUUAUGUUGCUAGGUGUGAUACUUGCUGCAGGGUAAAAGCAGUUCACCUCAAAACUGCAGGUUUGUUACAACCGUUGUCAGUUCUAGGUUGGAAAUGGGAAGAAAUCAGCAUGGAUUUCAUUGUCAGCCUUCCCCCUACCCAAAAGGGACACGACUCCAUAUGGGUGAUUGUUGACCGUUUGACCAACUCAGCUCACUUUAUUCCCGUACGUUCUACAUACCGACCAUCCGACUAUGCUGAGCUGUACUUCUCUCAGAUUGUCAGACUGCACGGAGUGCCUCACACUAUUAUUUCUGAUAGAGGUCCAUAGUUUACUGCCCGCUUUUGGGAGCAUCUGCAUUCACUCCUUGGUACGAAAUUGAUUCGCAGUUCAGCAUACCAUCCUCAAACCUCCGGUCAGACUGAGCGUGUGAAUCAAAUUUUAGAGGAUAUGUUGAGGGCAUUUGUUAUAUCUUCCAAGGGUGCAUGGGAGAAAUGGCUACCCUUAGCUGAAUUCUCUUACAACAAUAAUUAUCAAGAGAGUAUCCAAAUGGCUCCUUUUGAAGCUUUAUAUGGCCGCAAGUGUAGAACUCCUCUAAACUGGGUCGAACCUGGCGAAAGGAGGUACUAUGGGAUUGACUUUGUCAAAGAAGCCGAAGAGCAAGUUCUCAUUAUCCAGCAACACAUGAGAGCCGCCCAGGCUAGGCAGAAAAGCUAUGCUAACCGAAGAAGAAAACCACUCUAGUUCGAAGUAGGUGACUUUGUGUACCUAAAGGUAUCGCCCAUGAAGGGAGUAAAUCACUUUGGCGUAAAAAGAAAACUUGCCCCUAGGUAUGUGGGUCCCUACCAAAUCAUUGAGAAGAGCGGCAAGGUAGCUUACAAAGUACAACUACCCCCAGAAAUGAGAGCUAUUUUCCCCGUAUUCCACGUGUCUCAACUCAAGAAGUGUCUUCGUGUGCCCGAAGAGAGAGUUGAAACAAGAGAUAUCAAGUUGCAGUCCGAUCUAUCCUACGAAGAAAAGCCUGUACAAGUUCUUGAUAUCAAGUAAAGGGUUACUCGUGGGAGAGUAAUCAAACUUUUUAGAGUUUUGUGGAAUCGUCAAAGUGAGAGAGAUGCCACUUGGGAAAGGGAAGACUAUUUACAAGUAACCUAUCCCUCAUUCUACGAAAAAUGGUACGUCUUUCAAAUCUCGGGAUGAGAUUUUUGUAAGGGGGGAGGGCUGUAACACUUCUAGUGUUAGCUUGCAUGUUAACCAUGAGCAUUGCAUCAACAUAAGCAUCAUCAUGCUCAUUCAUAAACAUACAUCAUGAUCACAUGUCAUCUUAUGUGUCCCAUGUAUGAUUAAAUUACUUGUGUGGCUUGAUUUGAGUGACUUUAGUAGGUGACCAAUGCAUACAAGUAUACAUUGUCUUCCAAAAUACUUUAAUUAUGUUUAGAACAACAUUUUGAACAAAGUUCAUGUUGGAGGUUUUGGCCAAAAAUGUCUCUAAGCCAUGGUUAACCCUAGGUUGCCCUAAUUGUCCCCCUAGACCUCUUUCCAAAGUUGUUUUAUGAAACUGGUGUUAGAUACUUUGCAUGUAAAUGACACCUGAAACAAAGUUGUAGAGAAUUUCAUAAGCUACAAAAGUUAUGUUGAUGACUUUUUAUGAAAAAGCAUAGAACAAAUCCAAAAUUUAUUCACAAGCCAAAAAUCAGGGCUGAUUUCACACUUAGCCGAAUUUGGCUAAGUCUUGAAUCACACAGUUUCGAGGUAGGGUUGUUGGCAACGUUGUAGAUUGAAAUCCAGACCGAUUUAGACUGAGCUCGUGUAAUCAAACUUGUAGAACUCGUGUAGCUCUAUCCAGAGGAUCAAAUUCGAGCCAAAACCAUUGAUUGAGCUGAGAGUAAGACGUUGUUAAACUUCAGGAUUCAGUCAUUGCAAUCGGCGUUUCAGAAAAACGUUUCAGACUAGACAGAGCUCACCCGCCGCCGCGUGUCCGGCCACCUGUCGGCCGUACGCCGUUGACGGCCCCCUCUGUCAGCUCCCACGGUGUCCACAAGUCACCACGCACCGAGUGGAUGCCUCAGACGUGACCUUCUCGCUCAGAGCCUCCCAUUUCGCUCCGCCAUUGCCACAGCGAGCUCCGCCGCGCUUCGGCGAGCUUUCCCGGCCGUUCCUCCGCGUCUCCGGCCGAGCCAGUCCGCCCAGAGCUCCACCUCGACGUCCUCCACCUUGGCGUCACCUCCUUGGCCACUGUCGAGCACAGGUGAGACGGCAUUGCCGAGCUCCGAGCCGUUCUCCCUCGUCGGAGUUCCACCCGAGCUCACCGGCGACGUGGCCAGGCCUCUCUGCUCCACCAUUUCCCUCCAUUCUUGUUUCUAUCGCUUUCCCUUGGCUCACUGAUGCUCGGCGUGAAGCUCUACCGCAUCGCCAUUGCCUAGAUCCGCCGGCGUAACGCCGCGCAGCGCCGCCGAGCCGCCAUUCCCGACGGCGUGGGUCCCGGGUGUCAGUCUCUCCCUCUCACAUCCCUGGUUCACUGUUUGCAGAUCCUGUGUUGAUUUUGUAAAAUUCAUAUCUCGAGUUUUAUAGGUCCAAAUGACAUGGUUCCAAUUUUGCUAGGUUCCUGUAUAAGUCUAGUUUGUAAUAAAAAUAUGAAACAUGCCAUAUUUUUGCAGAAAUAAAUAGAUAUAAUUUAAUCUUGUUUUAUUAGGAGGUAAUUAUAUCUUGAGAUCUGUUGAUCUGUUGACUAUGUAAAUUUAGGGUGUUGUUACUUAUGAUAUGAAUGGGCUCUGAUAAAUUUAUCAUGAUUUUUGGAAGCCUGAUUGCGAAGUUAUAAUUAUUUAUUGUUUAAAUAGGAGUUCCUUGUGGUAUUUUUAAUAAAUAAGUUAUAACUCCUUUUGUGGUAAAACUUGCUGAGUGUUGUACUCAUGUGUAAACAAAGCUAGGAAAAAUCUAAAAUCUAUUGUUUGACACUUGUUGAUAGGGUUUCACAUUUAUGCCUUGCAUGCCUUUGUUAGCUUGUUAUUUUUAUAUCUCACAAUCUGUAUGUGCAAAUAUCCUGAAAAUUUUACAUUAAGCUUAUGUUAGCAUAAGUAGCUUGCUGUAAUUUUCUCAGAAGUUUUGGAACACUUGGAAUGCAUGAUCGUUAAAUCACCUUAAUAGUUAAAUAAAUGAAAAAGGUGAUGAUAGAAAUAAGUCCAGCCCUUGCCAUGAUGUUUUCUAGUGUUUUUUAGAUAUGUUCUACCUACUGGUGCAUUUGGAUUGACCCUUUAAUACAAUCUUGUUAUGUGCAAAAUAUUAUUUUUGCUAUUUAUGCCUUUCUUAGAGUAAUCCUGUGUAGCUAAUAGCAAUUGCUUAAGAACUAAUUGAAGAUGAUGUUUUCUGGGAAACUUGUCUACAACAAACUUGUAGCUAACUUGCUUAUCUACUUCGUGUCUAAUUUUUAUGACAUUUGGUUGAGUAGUUUAAAUGUUAUGAAUGUUACAAGUAGCUUCUGCAAAGUGCUUGCUCUCUGGAUUUUCCAGGGCAGCCAGCCAACUUUGUAUGUUUUAGCAUAUUUCGGUUGGGAAUCAUUCUGGGAUGUCUAAAAGUGAAUUGUAGACAAUUUGCUAAGCUUUCCAGAGAGUAUCUACUUCCUUAGUUUGGCCAACUGAUGCUUAAGUUAUAGCUGAAACUUUUGACAAGUUGGUUUGUCUAUGAAACCAGUGACUAAGUAGGAAUAGCUAAGGUUGAUUAACUUGUCUCGUUAGCCUCUCUACCAGAGAAGAAGUAUGCACUUACUUGUUAUUCUAUAAUCCACUUAACUUUAGGAGCUUAUGCUCAUGUUUAUACCUGGUUGUGUGUUCUUUAGUUCUUCAUCAUGUCAUCAUGCUUCAUAUGUGCAUUCUCUAUAUUUAUUCCCUUGUCAUGCAUACAUAAGUGUACCCAAGGGCGUGAUGGUUCUGGAGUUGGAGCUGCCAGAAUCAGAAGGUCAACAAGGAGAGCCACCUCAAGGAGCUGAGGAGGAGGAGGACUUGCCGGAGUGUCCCGACCAUCGCCCGUCCACCUACGUUGAAGGCAAGCCCCGGAGCAUUAUAAGCCUCCCACUAUUUUAUUAUCAUGUUCAGCUAUCAACUGACUAUGGUCAUAUAUUGUUGCAUUAAGUGUUAGGCAUUGAUAUGACACCCUUGUUGCAUAAUGACUACCUUGUCCACCUCAUAUAUCACCUAAGUAGGUCCAGGAUCGAAAUAAUGCUUAGCCAUGCUUAGCUCGGUAGAAGCCGGGUGAUUUCCUGUCACCUGCGAGAGUUAGGUGGAUGAUGAUCACGGUUGGCUAUAUUUGCUAUCGUGGAAAUAAACAUGAGCUAAUAAUGAACUUGAGACCGGGCGGGAUGACGAUAGUGUAGCAACAAGGCAUGGAGGUCUUGGGUGUGAAUCUAUCCCCGUCUGUGUCAUUUAAGGACCGAAUCGCUGUACGUCCCCGUCUCAUGUUGAACGCAUGCCUAUCACUUAGUUGGCCGGAUAAGUCGUUCCGACCGCGAAGCCUACGAGUGCAUCUCCGGCUGGAUACCCUGUUCGGUUUAAGUGCGCACCCCGGUUGGUAGCAAGGAUGUGCGGGGAGUCAAUGGUGUAAGACCGAGGUGUCAGGUUAGAGUCCUGACCCUGGCAGAUUGGCGGUCCCUGGGGUUGCGGCGCUGUACAGACCCGCGAAUUGCUACGGAGUUGUGCUAAAGGUGAUCCGAGCUGCCAUCAUGAAGUAUGCUUGGGUGAGUGUUAGGAAUACCCCUCCAGCUGGAUAGGAAUCGAUUCGAAUCGCCGUCUCUCCAGGAUAGUGAGAACUUGAAUUGGGCAGCGGCAACAUAGAAUUCACUAAGUAAACAUAAUGGUUAUGAUGAGAAUGUUGAUAGCAAAGUGAUAAUCUGGAUAUGGUUAUUAUUGUGAUGCUUAAAUAUUCAAGUGUAUGCUUAGAACAGGUGCUAAUCUAGUGGAUAGUUGUUAAGUAAUAAACCUACUGCUGAAAUAUUAUUAAAUGGGUCACUUACAACAAAGGCUUUUUAUGCAAAAGGUGAGUCAAACCAAUCCACCAAGAUCAGCCUUGCAUACUCCUUGGUGUCACUUUAUUUCUAGUUUAUGACGGGUAAGUCUAGCUGAGUACCUUCUCGUACUCAGGGUUUUAUUUACCCCUGUUGCAGAUGAUGUCGUUUAUCACGGCUACUGUGCUAACUGCCAUCAUCCGGCUGCGGACGAUGAAUAGAUCAUGGGCGUGAUCACCUUCUUUAUCUUCGGUUGUGCUUUUGUUGGGUUUGACCAUGGAACUGGCUUGUAAUAUAAACUGAGUGUGUGAUGUUCAAAACUACUUUGUUUCCUCUACUACUCUGGUUUGUAAUAACCACUUUUAAACUCAGAUGUGAUGUAAAACUAUGUUCUGUGAUGAAUGUAUGUAAUCUGUGAUGGUGAUGCUUGAUCAUGUAUGAUCUUGGUUGUAUGUUGGUUGAAUCGAGGUCUUUUGAGAUUUCGUCGGACUACCGGGUUUAUAUGGGUUCAAGUCCAUUGGCUUGACUGCCUCUGUGGUCGCUAAUUCACUUGAAUUCUUAUAAAUUGGACGGUUCUGUUACAUACUUAGCCCAAACCAGUAUAAUUCUCUGUGUUCCACUUGUAUCACCAUUAGGGUUUAGGAGGACACGCAGACUUAUCACUCGUUAGUGUCUAGACGACGAUUCUAGACGCCAAGACUACUACUACUAGGAUUAUUAUGGUGAUGUACUGAUUCCCCUUCAUCUUUUCGAACGACGGCACAAGAAAUAUAACCAAGGAAGGCUACUAGAAAUGGAGAUCAUCGGACUGCAAAUGGAGAUUGCAAAAUUCAUCUUGUCUGAAGUACUUUCAAAAGAUGGAUCAUAUUCCAUUACACAAUUCCAAAACUACAAUGACCAAUUUGGGUGAGAGCAGAUUGCUAGGCUCUUGUAAUUUCUUUUUUAGUAUUAGUGAUCGAGAUCUUGUAUACAACACUUGAAUUGUAAGUGUACCAGAUAUUGUCAUGACUUUUGUUCUUUUGAUCUUUUUUAGACCAUUUGAAUUAAAAUGGCCAACUAGAACCCAAAAUAUUAGAAAACUAAAUUAAAAAAAACAUAAAACCUAUGUGUCACUGCUAGCUAGAGUGAACCGACAGUGUUGAUGACCAAGAGCACUGCCGAAUAACAACUAGAACCGGCAGUGUUGGCUCAAGCUAACACUGCCGGUUCUUGUGAUAGCUGGCAAUGUUGAUGGCCAAGAGCUGGUGGGUAGCUACCAGAACCGGCAGUGUUGGCUGUCGCUAACACUGCCGGUUUUUGUUACAGCCAGCAGUGUUGUUUGCAAUAACAUUGUCGGUUGGCUACCUGAACCGGCAGUGUUGGUGAUAGAUAACACUGUCGGUUGUUUGUGUGCUCCGACAGUGUUAUGGACGAUCACUGCUGGUUUAUAGAAAUCAAUAGUGUUUUGGUCUCCACAUCAUUGCCGCUUUGGUACUGCUGAUUCAAAAUCAGCAGUGAUCGUAUCUGUAGUAGUGAAUGAGGAGGAUGAGAAAGGAUGACACACAUGAUGUAGAUGAUGACGUCCUGGCUUACUAGUUUCUCUCUUAACACUGCUAAUGUUCACGAAGGAGCCUAAGAAACAUGUGAUGAUGAGGCACUUGGCCGAUGAGCUUGACCAGAGGACUAUCAAUACUAUGUUCUAUACAAACAUCAGCUCAGAGGUAAGACACCUUUGGGUUGCACUGAGCACAUAUAGGAUGAAUCCUUUCAACCAGGUCAAAAGCAACCAUAGCACUUGGCCAGUGACACUUUAUAUAUAGAACCUUCUACCUUAACUCUGUAUGAAGCAGUCAUACAUCCAGAUGGUGCUACUGAUCCAAGGGCCAAAACCACCAGGGAAUGACAACGACACAUUCCUAGAACCAAUGAUUGAUGAACUUGUACAGUUACUACAAUCACCGAUCUGCCAGGGCGACGUUGCCUGUCAAGACAGAACACAAAAGGGUAUAUGAAUGCGUCGAGUGCUUAGACGACACCAAUGUGGUACAUCUAAAGAAUAACUCAAAAGUUAUUUAUAUGGGACACCAUAAGUUCCUGCAUAUGGACCACCCGUACCGUAGAAACAAAAAAGAUUUUGAUGGCACUGUUGAUAGACGCAAGCCUCUAGAGUAUGGAGGUGUAGGACUCAAAGAAUGAACCAUUUGCACAUUUGCAAUCACAAGUGGCGGUGUUGAAUUUGUACGCACUCCUCAUAACAUAUUAUUUUUUGAUUAUACAUAUCCCUUUCUAAUGUUUCACCUUUUAACUAUUUAUUAUAAUAUUGCACAGUAUUUGAAAAAGGCAUAUAGGAGGGACGCAAACCAAUUUCAAGGUUGUUGAAAUGCAAGACAUUCCAUACUUCAACCGGCGGGAAACAAUUAGUGUGGGUUCUAUGUGAUGUGGGCAACGCUUUCUUACAUCGGAGUCAAUACGAAAGAGGGAGAUAACUUGGUGAGUAGUGGUAUUAUUAUUAUUAUUAUUAUUAUUAUUAUUAUUAUUAUUAUUAUUAUUAUUAUUAUUAUUAUUAUUAUUAUUAUUAUUAUUAUUAUUAUUAUUAUUAUUAUUAUUAUUAUUAUUAUUGUUGUUGUUGUUGUUGUUGUUGUUGUUGUUGUGGUUGUUGUUGUUGUUGUUUUGUCGUCGUUGUUAUUGUUGUUGUUGUUGUUAUUAUUAUUAUUAUUAUUAUUAUUAUUAUUAUUAUUAUUAUUAUUAUUAUUAUUAUUAUUAUUAUUAUUACUACUACUACUACUACUACUACUACUACUACUACUAUUAUUAUGGUGAUGUACUUAUUCCCCUUCAUCUUAUCGAACGACAGCGCAAGAAAUAUAACCAUUGAAGGCUACUAGAAAUGGAGAUCGUCGGACUGCAAAUGGAGAUUGCAAAAUUAAUCUUGUCUAAAGUACUUUCAAAAGAUGGAUCAUAUUCCAUUGCAUAAUCCCAAACCUACAAGGACGAAUUUGGGCCAGAAUGGAUCGCUAGGCUCUUGUAAUUUUUUUUUUAAUUUUAGUGAUCGAGAUCUUGUAAACAACACUUGAAUUUGUCAUAUCUAUUGUUGUUUUGAUCUUUUUUAGAACAUUUUAAUUAAGAUGGCCAACUAGAACUCAAAAUAUUAGAAAACCAAAUUAAAAAACCCUAAAACCUACAUGUCACUGCCAGCUAGAGUGAACCGGCAGUGUUGAUGACCAAGAGCACUGCCGAAUAGCAACUAGAACCGGCAGGGUUGGCUCAAGCUAACACUGCCGGUUCUUAUGCUAGCCAGCAGUGUUGAUGGCCAAAAGCACUGCCGGGUAGCUACCUGAACCGGUAGUGUUGGCUGUCAGCUAACACUAUCGAUUCUUGUUGCAGCCGACAGUGUUGUUUGCAAUAACAGUGUCGGUUGGCUACCUAAACCAGCAGUGUUAGUGACGGAUAACACUAUCGGUUGUUUGUGUGCUCCGGCAGUGUUGUGGACGAUCACUGUUGGUUUAUAGAAACCGAUAGUGUUUUGGUCUCCACAUCACUGCCUCUUUGGUACUGCUGGUUCAAAAUCCAGCAGUGAUAGGUGUUACAAACCGGCAGUGAUCGGAUCUGUAGUAGUGAAUGAGGAGGAUGUCAUGCAUGCUGAAGAUGAUGACGUCUUGGCUUACUAGUUUCUCCCUUAACACUGCUAAUGUUCAUGAAGGAGCGUAAGAAAGAUGUUAUGAUGAGGCACCUAGUCGAUGGGCUUGACUAGAGGACUAUCAAUGCUAUGUUCUAUAAAAACAUCAGCGGAGAGGUAAGACACCUUUGGGUUGCAUUGAGCACAUAUAGGAUGAAUGUUUUCGACCAGGUCAGAAGCAACCAUAGCACUUGGCCUAUGACACUUUGUAUAUACAACCUUCUACCUUAUCUCUGUAUGAAGCGGUCAUACAUCCAGAUGGCAGUACUGAUCCAAUGGCCAAAACAACUAGGGAAUGACAUCGACAUGUUCCUAGAACCAAUGAUCGAUGAACUUGUGCAGUUGUUUAACAAGGGUGUGGAGCAUGUUUGGGAUGAGUACAAAAAGGAACAUGAUCAAGGUAGUGCUUAUCGCUACAAUCACCGAUCUGCCAGGGCAACGUUGCCUGUCAAGAGAGAAGACAAAAGGCUAUAUGGAUGCGUCGAGUGCUUAGACGACACCAAUGUGGUACAUCUAAAGAAUAACUCAAAACUUAUUUAUAUGGGACACCAUAAGUUCUUGCCUACAGACCAACCGUACCAUAGAAACAAAAAAAGAUUUUGAUGGCACUGUUGACAGACGCAGGACUCCAAACUAUGGAGGUCUAGGACUCGAAGAAGGAACCAUUUGCACAUUUGCAACCUUGGCGGUGUUGAAUUCGUAUGCGCUCCUCAUAACAUAUUAUUUUCUGAUCAUACAUAUCCCUUUCUGAUGAUUCACCUUUUAACUAUUUAUUAUAAUAUUGCACCGUAUCGAGGAUAUCAAUGAGGGGGUACCCCAGUAGACAUCCCAAAAAGAAGCAAAGGUCCCACCUGCUCUGACAGGGGUAAAAAGCCCGGCAUACAGCCAUCCAAGGCCAGCUCAAGAACAGGCCUCGACGUCUCACCAACCAUGUGCUAAUCGUGACCUUGACUCGACAUACCAAGAAUGCUUGUAGCAUACCGAUCGACGUAACACUCAUCAACGGAAAAUAGCUCAAGUGAACGCCUAAACCUCGAGAUCACACAUCCCUUGAUUGCGGAAUCAAGGUCGAGCGAACCGCGCUGCCUCAAGUGUGGGACGCACCCCCUCUGCCAGCCGUUAGUAUGGAUUCUAGAGCAUUUAAUGCGACUGACAAGCCCCCACUUAACGCCAUGGCGGCCAAAGCUGUGAUGAUGGGUCGUACUCCCAUCAGGUCACAGUUUUUAUCAGCUUUAUCUUGAAACCCAGGAAAGGGUACGCGCCAGUACUGUAACGGACAGUGUAACAUCCCAUCGGGCAACCCCUCAAGACGUAAUGGUCAACACUUCCUUCACCGGGCCCUACCCGGUCGGCCUGAACCUCGAGGCCAUCGGACACUUCACAGGGAAGGAGUUGUGAUGCGACAUGUUGGCCCAAUCUUCAGGACGUAGGAAGAACACCAAUAACUAUCCGAAGAACAGCCGGAUAACUUGCUCCAAGCAGCGAUAACUAGUGAACCUGGCAAAUAAAACUCGAAACCAACCACCAUCUUUAACCGGCAAUCUGAAUCGAGGAUUCGCCCAACCACACUCUCAAAGAACCAACCAACACAACCUACAAUCAAUCAAGGAAUACCUUGAAGGGAGUAGGAGCACCAAUUGGGAGCGGAUGAAGCCACCGCCUAUGUAAUCCCGUGAGGAAAUCACAAGAGCAAGGGGUAGAGAUCACUCUCUGAAUAUUUGUUAGCACAUAGCUAAACAAAAGGGGUUUUGUAUUUCAAUUAUCAAAAGUCUUAGAUUACAAAGAGUCUUAGGGGGUACUUAUACUAGCAACAGCCGUGCUAGGUUGGUAUGAAAACGAAAUAGUGUUUCUGAGGGAAGGCAAUGUGAAAGGUCCCCUCGGAAUGGAUUCUCGAACUGGCUUCGCGUGACUGUUGGCCUCCAGAGCAGUUUCCAAUAAACUGAACAUAACUUCUUAUUGGGUAGACCAAAUGAUGAACCGUUUCUUGGGUGUGAAACUAGACUCAAAGGGCUUUCCAUAAAUGUAUGCCAACCAGCAUGAAACAUUGCAGAUUGGUACAGUUUUACUUAGCAAGUUGUACCAACAUUCUGUCACGACACACUGUUGACCAUCUGAGCAAUCUAUACUAAUUCUAGUCUGUAGGCAAUAUGUUGUAUCCAAACUGGUCGCCACUAGAUUCAUUGGAAAGUAGACUCAACAGUCUUUCCAACAAGUCCUCAUGGACCUUCAUAGCCUUUGUGAGUAAAAAGUUAUUAAGAUUUCUUUGCACUGGUCCAUUCUUGACUCUACUGGUCCGUUUUUAACUCUUCUGGUCCGUUUGGCUAGUGUUGCACUGGUCCGUUAUUUAGGGUCCGAUUCAUCAUUCUCUUCUUCUAUAUACCUGAGUACAAUCAAGGUACAACACUUAGGUAGUAUAUAAUUCUCAUUGAUGUUAAAAUGAAUCUCACAAUGUAGCGCGUGGACCUCUUGUUGUAGCUUCUUUGCACGACUACGUGUAAUCGUUCCAUCGAUGACUUGGGUUGGUGUCGGGGUAGGUGAAACUUGAGUUGGUGUAGCUUACAUGGAGCUUGUGACAUCUUGCUUGGUAGCGUGGUCAUAUCAUCCUCCCCCUCUUGAAAAGUAGUCGUCCUUGACUCUAAAGGAUCUUGACUUGUGAAUGGAGAGAGAUCAGCAACAACAUUGUCCUUACCUUUCUUGUAUUUUACAAUGUAUGGAAAUGUUUCGAUGAACUCAACCAAUUUGCCAUGACGAUGGUUCAGUGUUGCUUGUCCUUUCAAGUACUACAAAGCUUCUUGAUCAGAGUGAAUAAUAAAUUCUUUUGGCCAUAAGUAGUGCUGCCAUGUUUCAAGCACACGCACUAAGGCGUAUAUUUCUUUAUCAUACAUAGAAUAAUUCAGUUGAGCACCUCCUAGUUUUUCACUAGAAUAUGCUAUAGGUUUUCCUUGUUGCAUUAAAACUCCUCCUAUUCCAAUUCCACUAGCAUCACAUUCUAUUUCAAAAGUUUUAGUGAAAUCAGGAAGAACAAGUACAGGUGCUUCAGUCAAACGUUUCUUUAAUUCUUCAAACGCAUUUUGUUGUGAUUUUCCCCAUUUAAAGUCAACACCUUUCUUUGUCAAUUCAUUUAAUGGAUCAGCAAUGGUACUGAAAUCUCUCACAAACCUCAUAUAAAAACCAGCAAGGCCAUGCAAACUUCUUACUUGACUUACAUUCAUUGGAGUUGGCCAAUCCCCGAUGGCUUUCACCUUGCUUUCAUCCACUUCUAUGCCUUAUCCUGAAACAACAAAGCCAAGAAACACAACAUGGUGUGUGCAAAAACUGCACUUCUCAAGAUUAGCAAAUAAUUUCUCCUUUCUGAGCUCUUCCAAGACUUGCCAAAUAUGAUUCACAUGUUCCUCAAAAGACUUGCUGUAAAUUAAGAUAUCAUCGAUGUAGACAACAACAAAUUUUCCAAUGAAAGCUCUCAAGACUUGGUUCAUUAAUCUCAUGAAUAUACUAGGAGCAUUAGUCAAACCAAAAGGCAUAAAUGAACUUUAGUGAAUAUGGUGGAACCACUCAAUUCAUCAAGCAUGUCAUCUAAACAUGGAAUGGGAUGUCGAUAGCAUACAUUGAUAUUAUUUAUAGCUCUACAGUCAACACACAUCCUCCAAGAACCAUAUUUCUUAGGUGCUAAAAUUACAGGAACUACACAAGGACUUAAACUUUCAUGAACAAAACCUUUAUCAAGAAGUUCCUGCACUUGCCUUUGUAUUUCCUUUGUUUCUUUUGGAUUGGUUCGGUAUGGUGGUCAAUUAGAUAGUGCAGCCCCUGGAAUGAGAUCAAUUUGAUGCUCAAUCCCACGAAUUGGAGAUAGUCCAACUGGUGUCUCCUUUAGAAAAACAUCUUCAUAGUCCUGCAAAAGAUGAGACAUGUAACACCCUAGGUGUUAAGCAUGCACUUAGUCUCAUCAAAGUCAUGCAUAAGCACUCUCAUCAAUCAUAAGCAUCAUGAGCAUGUCAUUCUUUUAAGAAUAUGGUUUUAUGUGCAUCAUUUCAUGUGCUUUAAUUAUGUUAAAAAUGUGAUGUUUGUUUCUAAAAUUGUGAAAUAUUCAAAUUAGGUUGCUUUAUGUGUAAGAAGAAUUUAGAACAUUUUUGUGCAAUUUUUUGGAGCUAUGGAAAUUGAGAAAUGGAAUUUAUACAAAAUAUCCAAAAUAACUUUAUUUAAAAACCUAGAACUAAGUUUUAAUUUGUAAUUCAAAUUCUAUUUAGAAUUUGGUCUUACCUAUUAAAGCAAAGUUGUAGAGCUUUUAGUUUGGCACCACUUUGCUUUUGGGUGAAAAUGGUGAAAAUAAUUUGAACAUGGUCAAAAUGCUUUUGGAAGAGGAUUUAAGAAAAGAAAAUUUAAAAAAAAAUGGAAAAGGGAAAAGGGGGCGCUAGCAGGCCGCGGCCUCGCUUCUGGCCCACUGGCCGAAGCCGGCUCGGCCCGCCCACGCUCUCCCCUCCCCCUUCCCCGCGCUCGCGCCCGCGUCCGCGCGCGGACGGCCUCGCCGCGACGCCGUGCCGCGCCGGCAGGACUCGGCCGCCGCGUGGCGGGCAUGCGGCAGCGAGGACGCGCCCCGGUCGGCCACCAAAGCGCCCCGGUCGCGCUCGCCUCCGCCCCCGCUCCCAUUUGUGCCCCUCAGCUCCCUCUCUCUCGCUCUCUCGCCCUCGCCCCGCACGCGCAGAGCGCCGCCGUCGCCAUUGGAGCCCGAGCUCCGCCUCGGCUGUUCCUCCCCCGUGCGUGCGCCAUUCUUCGAUUAGUUCUUCCCCGAGCUUCGCCCUCGCUCCGCCGUUGCGGAACGCUCAUCUGAGCGCUCGGUAAGGCACGGUGAGCCCCGCUCGCCCUCGCUUUCUUUUCCGUCGAGAGCUCCGCCGCCGCACGCGUGGUCCGCGCGUCUCCAUGCCUUCCGGUGCUGCGUAGUUGGCGCAUCGUGUUCGCCUUGGCACCGCGAUGCUCGCAAGCCCCUCCAGCCAUGCUCUACCGAGCCGGCGUCCCGUACCGACGAUGAGCAGCGCCGCCGCUCCGCCAUGGCCGGUGGCGAGCCUGCUCCGGUCCGUGUUAGGCCGCGCAAAUGGGCGCGCUAGGUCCGCCGUGAGCCGUAGAGCGUGUAGAGCCGCUUGAUUCGCCGAAAGGCGUCGCCGACGGUGAGCUCCGGCCCCCUCUGCGCUCUGACCAGCGGGCCCGGCUGGCAGGCGGGUCCGCUCGUCAGCGGCCGCGGGUGCACUGCACCGGGUGCACCUAGCAGGUCUCGGGGUGGAUUUGAUUUGUUUUCAGAAAAAUAAUUUCCAGGAAAUGAUUUAAAUGUUCAAAAAUCCAUAUCUUGAUGAAUAUAGUUCCAAAAAUUGUGAAAUAAAUUUUGGUGCAAUCCUUGUUUCCAGAUCUAUAGCCUAGUAUGAUUGCAUGUCAUGUUUGAGUAACUUUCCUGUAAGAAUAUAAUUAAUCCAUGUUUUUCCUAAACUUGGAAAAUGCAUAGUAAAUAAAAUAGGGUUCAGAAAAAUGUAAAACUUGUUUUGCUGGCUCUGCAUGUGUGUUUACUCACUGAGAAAAUAUUGUUACAUAUUAUUUGGUGUAUAAAUGAAUUUAUGGUAAUUUAAAUGCUUGCAUGGCAGUGAUUUAUGAUUUUUAAUAAUUAAUUGGGUCAUGCAAUAAAUCUGGAAAAUUUUGUGGGUGUUUCUUAUGAUAUUAUGCAAAUUGUAAAAAUAUGAAAUCUGUUGUUUGACACUUGUAUCCCAGUAGAGUGAUUUUACUUGCCUUAUUAAUUAAUCUUGUGAUUUUUGUGGCUCAAAAUAAGUAUCCAAAAAUCAUGAAAACUUUACAGUAGACUUUAUGCUUAGCUGGUAGUCUCCUGUAAUUUUUUUGAAAUUUAUUGAUGAACAGAAUUGUAUGUGAUUUUUAAUGGGCUUAGAAAUGAAUAAAGAACACCAUGAAAGGUGUAUAUAUAUAGGUUGAAUGGAAUAAGUUGGGUUUGGUGUAUCUUUGAAGCAUCAUGGGGGUUGCUGGUUGCAUUUGAAAAAUAUUUGUAGAAGAGAAUGCAACAGAUGCUUAAUUUAGUUAUUGUUCCCGGAUGAUGUUGACUACCUUGUAAUAAGCAUGACCAAGUGCAUCACCUAUGCAUCAUAACAUGACUCCUUUGACACUCUCUCUUACAAGCAUCCACUCGGGCAUCUCACACUCCACUCAUGAGCAUAUAUGCAUCAUACAGGCUCGCAGGAGAACGAGGUGGGACCCGAGGAGCCAGAGGAGAUUCAGGAGCAGGAACCUCCGGAAGCACCCGAACCCGGAGAGGAACUGCAGGAGUGUCCGGAUCACCGACCCAGCACGUUUGAGAAAGGCAAGCCCCGGAGCAUUCUAAGUCUCCCUAUUCUUGCUAACUUAUAUAAAGUGCUAUACUUGUUCUACUGUAUUGCAUAUUAAGUGAUAGGAGUUGCCUGAUACCGUUGCUGCAUGAGUACUCCUUGUUAUUCCUACCCGUUCAACUACCUUGUCCUAUGUAGAUAGGCACGGAGUCUAUGCUUAGCUUGCUUAGUUCGGUAGAAGUCGGGUGAUUCCCUGUCACCUGCGAGACAUAGGUGGAUACCUGCUUGUUUAAGCAUUGGUUGCUCAGGGAAAAGAAUAACCAGGUGUGGAAUGAAUUUGGAGACCGGGCAGGGUCUUAUGGUGGGUUGACCCUAGUACCCCUGCCUGUGUCGAUUAAGGACCGGUCGUUGAUGGCCCUCUUGUCAUGUUGAACGCAUGCCCCACACUUAGCUGGAAGGAUAAGUCGUUCCGACCGCGAAGCCUGAGCACUAUCCGGGCUGGGAAUCGGCCCGAUGUACGCGCUGUAUUGGUGAUGGUUGAGGAGAACGACGAGGGCGCGGCGCGCAACCUUGGUAUACCUUGGAUACCUCGGUCGCCGGAACGGUCCUCGGGUACGAGCGGUGCCUGUCGAACCCGCGAAUUGGUCCUGGAUAGUGCAACAUGGUGACCUGUAGCUCACUUGAUCAGUGAGUGUAGUUUGUGUGGGGAAUAAACUCGCCAGCUGGUUAGAAAUCGAUUCGAAUCGCCAUCGCUCCUGGAUAGUGAGCACUUGACAUGAGCUUCGUCCUCGUAGUAAGGACUAUGGAACACUUGGGUUAUAAUGAUGAAUGGUUUUUAAGAAAUGCUAUGAUGAGGUACUAUCAUAGUCUCAUGCUUGCUUGUAAUAGAGCAGGUGCAAACCUAGAUGAUAGGAAAUGAUACUUUCAACUUGAGCCAAUUAAAAUGGAUAAAGACUUAUGUAGGUUAUGUUAGCGAAAUACUGCGGUUGUGCAAAUUGGUCGUCAGCUCCCCCACUAUAUAGCCUUCAUGAUCCUUCAUGAGUCUUUAUUUUAAGUUUAUGGCGGGUAAGUCUAGCUGAGUACCCUCUCGUACUCAGGGUUCUAUUCCCAUGUUGUUUUGCAGAUGGUCAAAUGUACUAUGGUUAUUGUAUCCUCUGUCUGUACCCAGCUAUGGGUGAUGACUAGACCAAGGGCGAUGGUCACUCUGUCUCUUCCUUUGCUUUUGUGGGAAUGACCAAACUAUGGCACUGUAUCAGACUUAUCGUGUGUGUAGUAAUUUCGAAUCAUGAAGCUUCCGCUAUUUGAAGAACUUGGUUUGUAAUAACUUUAAGCACUCCGAUGUAUUUUAUGAAUGUUGUAAUCUGGAUGUACUUGUGGAUGGCGACCGCUAAACUUAUUACGAUCUUGGCUGUAUGCGAUGUGUGGUUUGAAAUCCUUCGAGAUUUCACGGACUACCGGGAUUAUAUGGGCUUAAGCGUGAUGGUUCGACUAUGCAAAUGGUCACUAUUAGGCUUAAUCUCUUAUAAUUUGGUCGGUUCUGUUACAUCUGGCAUCGGAGCAAGGUUUAGCGAGUUACUGUUCAUAAGUACGUUUUAAACAAAAAUCUAAACCGGUUUAGUAAAAGAUUUUAUUUAUUAAUUAAUAAUGAUCAAGGUGUUAAACUAAGUUUUGGGAAAAUUAUCUAGUGUGCCAUGGUCAUAUCCUUUAUGCCCAGUUAAGGACUCUAAGGUGGCUACCUAAGUACUGACUUGGGGGUUAAUGCAUCAUAUUUUUAUUCCGUCGCUCAUACGGCGUGCAAUAGUAUGAGUGCCAUUCAUUUGAGUGGUAAUGUAUGGAUCAAUUCUUCCUCUACGCCAUGGUAAGUGGGAGUUGUGAGAGCAUGAUCGGAUACACUGCCGGUCUAGGGAAGUGUUGUCAGGUGCUGUGUCAUGCACACAUGUUGGUGUGUCUUGGGAACAGUACCGCAUGCUGGGAAUUCCGUCCUGAGAGGCGAUGCCGUCAUUAGGGCGAUGAUGUGGGUAGUGACACGUCACAUGCAUGGACGGGUGUCUGUGUAUGUGAAGUGUAUAGUUUUAAAUUUUGUUCUGCACGAUCAUACUGUGGGUGGGCUGAAAUGAGUUUUCUGCAGGUACCCUAACCACGUUCUCGCUUAGAACGCUAGCUACGUUAUGAGCGAACGUUGUAUGCCACCGCGUAUACCGCUUAGUGUUAACCUUUGUUUUCUAAGUUUGUGAGAUCGUAAGUUCGUACAUGCAUCAUGUGCAUUUCAUAUCAUUGCUUACUUUCCCCCUUAAUUUAAUCUGUCCCAAUUUUAAAUGAAAUAAAUAAAGGUAAUCCUCGCUCUUACCCACGGUAUUCCAUUUGCAGCAGAUGGCAUGCACUAGGCUCACCGCUCGCAAGUCCACUGGUGGGCGGGCCCCUCGCCGUCCGUUGGCAGCUAGGAGCUCGCGACAUAAGAGCAAGUUCCUAGAGGAGUUUGGGAUGCCCACUUUGCUUUAGAGGGUGCUCAGUUCGAUGGGGUAUCCCGAAGGAAGGGAGCCUCGCUACUAUUGGGAUAAGGAGCCGCUUGGUGACGAGACCCUAGAGGGGAUCGAGGCAGUUGUCCCUACCAGUGGAGGAGACCCUGCUUGGGGCGGUUGGGUGUACGAGUCCCGAGGUGUCACGCCUUUCCACGGUGCCAGCAGGGCAGCUUUCGCAGUUUUGAGGGACCUCAUGGAGAGGUUUCCACAGGAGCUGGCCCACGCCUUCGCUGGGGUGUUUCCCCGGGGUGACCCUUACACUUUGGUGUGGGAUCAGUCCGAGGUGAAUGCUCUAGAGAUGAGUGCGGAUGAGGACCAGCACAGUGACAGUGCAGCUACGAGUGCCAUGUACGCGUUGAUGAAGACCUAUGGAGGCCUGGAGCGUUGUUUGGGUCGCUUGUCCGGGUCUCUUCUCACCGUCCAGGAUGAGAAGCGUCAGUUGCAGCGUGAGUUUGACUCUGAGGUUGAGAGGCUACAGGCAGAGUUGGCUCGUGUGACCAGAGAGAGAGAUCAGGCAGUCCAGAAGAACAGUGAGCUGAGUCAGGACCUGCUUGCAGUGCGGGAGCAGAAGGACAGGGUGACUACUGCUCACAGGAACUGCGAGCGCAUGCUAGUCCAUGUGCUUGGGCAGAGGAAUGAAGCCUGGCACGAGGAGGACACUUUGAGGGCCCGACAGCUGGAGCUAGAGCAGCAGCUAGCUAAUGCCGAGGAGUACAAUGAGAACUUGCAUGAGGAGAUCCACCAGCUGCAUAACCAGCUCCACCCUCACCACCUGCCUGGAGCAGCGGAGCUAGACUCUGAGGACGAGAUUGACGCGGAUCCCGAGAUAGGAGCAGUUGCUAGUGGUGACAAGGAUGAGGAUGGCUCUGGCAUGGACAGUGAUCAUAGCGACUAGAUGCUAGGGCUCUAGAGCUAGUCUUUCCACUUUUGUGAUGUAUGUUGCAUGGCAUGUCAUGUACUUGUGGAUCUGGGCUGUGUAAGACUUUAUGAGUUGAUGCUGAAAGUCCAGUGUAUGUAUGCUGGCAAGUUGGAUGUACGCGAACCUUGUUGCGUGAAUGUUAAGUAAUCUGUUAGUGAUGUUGUGCGUGGAUGAUGAGUUGUUGUGCCUUUGUUUAUUGUGUGAAUUUAUUCCCUCAGUAAAUUCAGUAUGGCACGAUUUUACACAUUUUCUACCGGUUGAUGGCAACUCCUAACGAUUGCUUAUCAUUGGCGUAUGCAGAUGGUACAAACAUGUGGCGGGGGUAACGGCCAUCCGGGUCUUGGAGCAGGUACAUCCGGAAAUGGGGCUCAACGGAAUGAGGACUGAGCACCAACACCACCACCACCUCCCUCGUACACUGCGGAUGUGUUUUUCGCGCAGUUUCUGGGGAGCCAACGCAACAUGGAACAGAUGCAGCGCAACAUGGAAGAAGCUUUGCGCAACAUAGCUGACAACACCCGUCGUGGGGAUAAUCAGGGUGGCCGGGAGGUCAACCAGUACAGUUCGUUCAAGGACUUCAUGGAUACCAAGCCACAAAUCUUUAAGGAGGCCUUGGAACCGCUCGAAGCAGAUGAGUGGAUCAACACCAUGGAGCAGAAGUUUCGUCUUCUCCGAAUGACAGAAGAACUCAAGGCUGAGUAUGCGGCACAUCAGUUGCAAGGACCCGCUUCACCACCGCUUUCCGAGGAAAUUACGUUCCUCCUGGUGUGGUUGAGAUGAAGGUUGGGGAGUUCAUGAGGCUGUCCCAAGGGACGAAGUCUGUGAAGGAGUAUCUACACGCUUUCAACAAUCUCGCUCGCUAUGCCCCUGAGUUUGUGAACACGGAAGCUAAGAAGAUUGCUAGUUUCCAGAGAGGCUUGAAUCCAAAGAUGCUGAAGACCAUGGGUACCGGGGCCAGGGCUACUUUCAAUGCCUAUAUCAGUGACUGUCUGACCCAAGAGAACAAUAACAACAACUACAGUGCAUCCAAGUCACGUAAAAGGGCUUUUGAAGCAGGAUCAUCCCAGUCCAGGGCACCAGUGGCAGGGCGACAGCAGUAUCGUCCUCCUGCCCCGGGUGCAAGGUUCCGACCACCACAGAGAAGGAACACCGGGCAUCCAACCCAGCAGAAGCCGUACAAGGUGGCGAUAGCUCCUGCCAAGCCAAAGGCAAUUCAAGCCGCAGCACCUGCCGCCAACAAUGCGCCCAAGGGUCCGUGCUAUAACUGCCACAAGAUGGGACACUUUGCCAAGGAGUGUCCCUACCCCAAAAGGCAGCAGCCAACCUAUCCAGCUCGUGUGCAUCAUACCUCGAUUGAGGAGAUCCCGGAAGGAGAACCGGUGACAGCGGGUAUGUUUUCUGUCAACCAACAUCUUGCAGUUGUUUUGUUUGAUUCUGGAUCAUCGCAUUCUUUCAUGAGUCAAGCAUUUGCACAAAGGCAUGAUCAGCCAUUUACUGAGUUAGGUUAUGGCUAUCGCAUCAGCUCAGCCGGAGCCGAUGUGUUGACUAAUAAGACGGUAACAGGAGUUACUUUGGAUAUCAGUGGCCGGAGGUUUCGUGUAAACUUUGUGGUCAUGCCAGGACUGGUUUUGGACGUCAUCAUUGGAAUGAACAAGAUGACUGACUGGGGCACGGUUAUAGAUGUUGGGAAUAGAACCCUUUUCCUCAGAGAGCCGCAAGGGAAGGGUGUGUUUCAGGUCAAGUUGCCCCGGCGGUUGGACUUCGCCAGUCUUUCGUGUGCAGUACAGGUAGUUCCCCUAGAACACAUACCCGUGGUAUGUGAGUUCCCUGAUGUGUUUCCCGAGGAGUUACCAGGACUUCCCCCAGAUAGGGAGGUAGAGUUUGCAAUCGAGUUGAUACCAGGUACAGCACCAAUAUCUAGAAGACCGUACCGGAUGCCGCCAAACGAACUCGCAGAGUUGAAGAAGCAACUGAAGGAGUUACUAGAAAAAGGGUUCAUCCGGCCAAGCUCGUCGGAAUGGGGUUGUCCAGCGUUGUUUGUGAAAAAGAAGGAUCAGUCGUUGCGCAUGUGCGUGGACUAUCGUCCACUCAAUGCAGUGACAAUCAAAAAUAAGUACCCCUUGCCAAGGAUUGAUAUCCUGUUUGAUCAGUUAUCCAAGGCCAGAGUGUUUUCUAAGAUAGAUUUGAGGUCGGGGUAUCAUCAGAUCAAGAUUCGUCCGCAAGAUAUCCCGAAGACUGCUUUUUCCACCAGAUAUGGGUUGUAUGAGUAUCUUGUCAUAUCCUUUGGGUUGACAAAUGCUCCUGCUUACUUUAUGUAUCUGAUGAAUUCAGUCUUUAUGCCAGAAUUGGAUAAGUUUGUUGUGGUGUUCAUCGAUGAUAUACUGGUGUAUUCAGAAAAUGAGCAAGAUCACGCCGAGCAUCUGAGAACCGUGCUGACACGGUUACGAGAGCAUCAGUUAUAUGCCAAGUUCAGCAAGUGUGAGUUCUGGUUAAAGAAAGUUCCUUUCCUAGGGCACAUUCUGUCUAAAGAAGGAAUUGCUGUGGAUCCAUCAAAAGUGCAGGAAGUCAUGGACUGGAACGCACCAACUUCGGUCUCGGAAGUUAGAAGUUUUCUUGGUCUGUCCGGGUAUUAUCGUCGUUUUAUACCUGACUUCUACAAGAUUUCUAAGCCAAUGACAAGUUUGCUACAAAAGGACCGUAAGUUUGUCUGGACGGAAGGGUGUGAGUUAGCCUUCCGCACCUUGCGAAAGUUGCUAACCACUGCUCCCGUUCUGGCACAACCUAAUAUAGAGAAGCCUUUUGAUGUAUUUUGUGACGCAUCGAAGAGUGGCCUGGGGUGUGUGUUGAUGCAAGAUAGCAGGGUGAUAGCUUAUGCUUCUCGACAGUUGAGAAAGCAUGAAGUCAACUAUCCGACGCACGACCUUGAGUUAGCAGCAGUGGUACAUGCUUUGAAGAUCUGGAGACAUUAUCUGCUAGGAAAUAAGUGUCACAUUUACACCGAUCACAAGAGUUUGAAGUACAUCUUCACUCAGUCCGAGCUGAAUAUGAGGCAGCGACGGUGGUUAGAGCUAAUCAAGGAUUAUGAUUUGGAAGUUCACUAUCAUCCAGGCAAAGCUAAUGUGGUCGCAGAUGCUUUGAGUCGCAAACCGCACUAUCAAAUGGUUCACCCGUUAUUUGAAGAUGGGUUCGAUCUUAUGCAUCCUGAGGUCUUAUGUCAUACACAACUCAGUUGUUCACUCGAGAGUCAAGUCAUUGAAGGUCAGAAAAUAGACAAGGGUAUUUUCCACAUCAAAGAGAAGAUCAAAGAUGACCCAAAGACUCAGUUUCGGGUUGAUGAGAAGGGGGUACUGUGGUUUCAACAGCGGUUAGUGGUCCCGAAAGAUCGGGAGUUGAAGAAUCGCAUCAUGGAUGAAGCCCAUCUCUCUAAGCUUUCUAUUCAUCCUGGCAGCAGCAAAAUGUAUCAAGAUCUAAGGCCCCACUUUUGGUGGACCAAGAUGAAGAAAGAAAUAGCCGCUUAUGUGGCCCGUUGUGACACGUGUUGCAGAGUUAAGGCCAUCCAUAUGAAACCUGCGGGUCUGUUACAACCGUUAUCAGUUCCGGAGUGGAAAUGGGAAGAGGUCAGUAUGGACUUUAUCACCGGCUUACCGACAACCAGGAAGGGGAAUGACUCGAUUUGGGUAAUCAUAGAUCGAUUAACCAAGUUGGCUCAUUUCAUUCCAGUCAAGAACACAUACAGACCUCCCGAGUAUGCUGAUAUAUAUAUGGCUGAGAUCGUCAAGUUGCAUGGUAUCCCCAAAACCAUUAUAUCGGAUAGAGGACCGCAGUUCACUGCUCACUUCUGGGAGCGCAUGCAUAAGAGUUUGGGGACCAGUUUGAUAAGAAGCACGGCGUAUCAUCCCCAGACUUCAGGCCAAACAGAGAGGCUAAACCAAGUGUUAGAAGAUAUGCUAAGGGCCUGUGUGCUAUCGUCCAAGGGAUCGUGGGAAUCAUGGUUACCUUUGGCUGAGUUCUCAUACAAUAAUAGUUAUCAAGAGAGCAUCAAGAUGGCCCCGUUCGAAGCUUUGUAUGGGCGGAGAUGUCGAACCCCGUUAAACUGGGUGGAACCUGGUGAAAGGAGAUACUAUGGUAUCGACUUUGUGAAUGAUGCCGAGAAAAAGGUGCAGAUUAUACAACAACAUAUGCAAGCAGCGCAAUCACGACAGAAGAGUUAUGCUGACAAGAGGAGAAGGCCGCUUGAGUUCAAAGUAGGCGACUAUGUGUAUCUCAAGGUUACGACAAUGAAGAAAAUUCAACGUUUCCGAGUUCGAAGCAAGCUUGCACCCAGAUAUGUGGGACCAUACCAAGUGCUAGAAAGGAAAGGCCCAGUGGCCUACAAGAUUCAGUUACCUGAAGAGAUGACCUCGAUCUUUCCGGUCUUCCAUGUGUCGCAACUACGGAAAUGUUUGAAGGUGCCGGAGCAAAGAAUUGAACCUCGAGGAAUCAAGAUAAAAGCAGACCUGGAGUACAAAGAGCAGCCAGUGGGGAUUGUGGAUACCAAGGAGCGAGUAACCCGAAACAGAGUUGUUCGAACGUACAAGGUGGUGUGGAGUCAUCAUGACGAUAGGGAUGCCACUUGGGAAACAGAGGAUUACUUAAAAACAGUUUAUCCAAAAUUUCACAAGAAAUGGUUGGUAACCCUAAAAUCUCGGGACGAGAUUUCCCUAAGGGGGGAAGGGCUGUAACACCCUAGGUGUUAAGCAUGCACUUAGUCUCAUCAAAGUCAUGCAUAAGCACUCUCAUCAAUCAUAAGCAUCAUGAGCAUGUCACUCUUUUAAGAAUAUGGUUUUAUGUGCAUCAUUUCAUGUGCUUUAAUUAUGUUAAAAAUGUGAUGCUUGUUUCUAAAAUUGUGAAAUAUUCAAAUUAGGUUGCUUUAUGUGUAAGAAGAAUUUAGAACAUUUUUGUGCAAUUUUUUGGAGCUAUGGAAAUUGAGAAAAGGAAUUUAUACAAAAUAUCCAAAAUAACUUUAUUUAAAAACCUAGAACUAAGUUUUAAUUUGUAAUUCAAAUUCUAUUUAGAAUUUGGUCUUACCUAUUAAAGCAAAGUUGUAGAGCUUUUAGUUUGGCACCACUUUGCUUUUGGUGAAAAUGGUGAAAAUAAUUUGAACAUGGUCAAAAUGCUUUUGGAAGAGGAUUUAAGAAAAGAAAAUUUAAAAAAAAAUGGAAAAGGGAAAAGGGGGCGCUAGCAGGCCGCGGCCUCGCUUCUGGCCCACUGGCCGAAGCCGGCUCGGCCCGCCCGCGCUCUCCCCUCCCCCUUCCCCGCGCUCGCGCCCGCGUCCGCGCGCGGACGGCCUCGCCGCGACGCCGUGGCGCGCCGGCAGGACUCGGCCGCCGCGUGGCAGGCAUGCGGCAGCGAGGACGCGCCCCGGUCGGCCACCAAAGCGCCCCGGUCGCGCUCGCCUCCGCCCCCGCUCCCAUUUGUGCCCCUCAGCUCCCUCUCUCUCGCUCUCUCUCGCCCUCGCCCCGCACGCGCAGAGCGCCGCCGUCGCCAUUGGAGCCCGAGCUCCGCCUCGGCUGUUCCUCCCCCGUGCGUGCGCCAUUCUUCGAUUAGUUCUUCCCCGAGCUUCGCCCUCGCUCCGCCGUUGCGGAACGCUCAUCUGAGCGCUCGGUAAGGCACGGUGAGCCCCGCUCGCCCUCGCUUUCUUCUCCGGCGAGAGCUCCGCCGCCGCACGCGUGGUCCGCGCGUCUCCAUGCCUUCCGGUGCUGCGUAGUUGGCGCAUCGUGUUCGCCUUGGCACCGCGAUGCUCGCAAGCCCCUCCAGCCACGCUCUACCGAGCCGGCGUCCCGUACCGACGAUGAGCAGCGCCGCCGCUCCGCCAUGGCCAGUGGCGAGCCUGCUCCGGUCCGUUUUAGGCCGCGCAAAUGGGCGCGCUAGGUCCGCCGUGAGCCGUAGAGCGUGUAGAGCCGCUUGAUUCGCCGAAAGGGGUCGUCGACGCUGAGCUCCGGCUCGCCGGAGCUCCUCCCCCUCUGCGCUCUGACCAGCGGGCCCGGUUGGCAGGCGGGUCCGCUCGUCAGCAGCCGCGGGUGCACUGCACCGGGUGCACCUAGCAGGUCUCGGGGUGGAUUUGAUUUGUUUUCAGAAAAAUAAUUUCCAGGAAAUGAUUUAAAUGUUCAAAAAUCCAUAUCUUGAUGAAUAUAGUUCCAAAAAUUGUGAAAUAAAUUUUGGUGCAAUCCUUGUUUCCAGAUCUAUAGCCUAGUAUGAUUGCAUGUCAUGUUUGAGUAACUUUCUUGUAAGAAUAUAAUUAAUCCAUGUUUUUCCUAAACUUGGAAAAUGCAUAGUAAAUAAAAAUAGGGUUCAGAAAAAUGUAAAACUUGUUUUGCUGGCUCUGCAUGUGUGUUUAAUCACUGAGAAAAUAUUGUUAUAUAUUAUUUGGUGUAUAAAUGAAUUUAUGGUAAUUUAAAUGCUUGCAUGGAAGUGGUUUAUGAUUUUUAAUAAUUAAUUGGGUCAUGCAAUAAAUCUGGAAAAUUUUGUGGGUGUUUCUUAUGAUAUUAUGCAAAUUGUAAAAAUAUGAAAUCUGUUGUUUGACACUUGUAUCCCAGUAGAGUGAUUUUACUUGCCUUAUUAAUUAAUCUUGUGAUUUUUGUGGCUCAAAAUAAGUAUCCAAAAAUCAUGAAAAAUUUACAGUAGACUUUAUGCUUAGCUGGUAGUAUCCUGUAAUUUUUGUGAAAUUUAUUGAUGAACAGAAUUGCAUGUGAUUUUUAAUGGGCUUAGAAAUGAAUAAAGAAAACCAUGAAAGGUGUAUAUAUAUAGGUUGAAUGGAAUAAGUUGGGUUUGGUGUAUCUUUGAAGCAUCAUGGGGGUUGCUGGUUGCAUUUGAAAAAUAUCUGUAGAAGAGAAUGCAACAGAUGCUUAAUUUAGUUAUUGUUCCCGGAUGAUGUUGACUACCUUGUAAUAAGCAUGACCAAGUGCAUCACCUAUGCAUCAUAACAUGACUCCUUUGACACUCUCUCUUACAAGCAUCCACUCGGGCAUCUCACACUCCACUCAUGAGCAUAUAUGCAUCAUACAGGCUCGCAGGAGAACGAGGUGGGACCUGAGGAGCCAGAGGAGAUUCAGGAGCAGGAACCUCCGGAAGCACCCGAACCCGGAGAGGAACUGCAGGAGUGUCCGGAUCACCGACCCAGCACGUUUGAGAAAGGCAAGCCCCGGAGCAUUCUAAGUCUCCCUAUUCUUGCUAACUUAUAUAAAGUGCUAUACUUGUUCUACUGUAUUGCAUAUUAAGUGAUAGGAGUUGCCUGAUACCGUUGCUGCAUGAGUACUCCUUGUUAUUCCUACCCAUUCAACUACCUUGUCCUAUGUAGAUAGGCACGGAGUCUAUGCUUAGCUUGCUUAGUUCGGUAGAAGUCGGGUGAUUCCCUGUCACCUGCGAGACAUAGGUGGAUACCUGCUUGUUUAAGCAUUGGUUGCUCGGGGAAAAGAAUAACCAAGUGUGGAAUGAAUUUGGAGACCGGGCAGGGUCUUAUGGUGGGUUGACCCUAGUGCCCCUGCCUGUGUCGAUGAAGGACCGGUCGUUGACGGCCCUCUUGUCAUGUUGAACGCAUGCCCCACACUUAGCUGGAAGGAUAAGUCGUUCCGACCGCGAAGCCUGAGCACUAUCCGGGCCGGGAAUCGGCCCGAUGUACGCGCUGUAUUGGUGAUGGUUGAGGAGAACGACGAGGGCGCGGCGCGCAACCUUGGUAUACCUUGGAUACCUCGGUCGCCGGAACGGUCCUCGGGUACAGGCGGUGCCUGUCGAACCCGCGAAUUGGUCCUGGAUAGUGCAACAUGGUGACCUGUAGCUCACUUGAUCAGUGAGUGUGGUUUGUGUGGGGAAUAAACUCGCCAGCUGGUUAGAAAUCGAUUCGAAUCGCCAUCGCUCCUGGAUAGUGAGCACUUGACAUGAGCUUCGUCCUCGUAGUAAGGACUAUGGAACACUUGGGUUAUAAUGAUGAAUGGUUUUUAAGAAAUGCUAUGAUGAGGUACUAUCAUAGUCUCAUGCUUGCUUGUAAUAGAGCAGGUGCAAACCUAGAUGAUAGGUAAUGAUACUUUCAACUUGAGCCAAUUAAAAUGGAUAAAGACUUAUGUAGGUUAUGUUAGCGAAAUACUGUGGUUGUGCAAAUUGGUCGUCAGCUCCCCCACUAUAUAGCCUUCAUGAUCCUUGAUGAGUCUUUAUUUUAAGUUUAUGGCGGGUAAGUCUAGCUGAGUACCCUCUCGUACUCAGGGUUCUAUUCCCAUGUUGUUUUGCAGAUGGUCAAAUGUACUAUGGUUAUUGCAUCCUCUGUCUGUACCCAGCUAUGGGUGAUGACUAGACCAAGGGCGAUGGUCACUCUGUCUCUUCCUUUGCUUUUGUGGGAAUGACCAAACUAUGGCACUGUAUCAGACUUAUCGUGUGUGUAGUAAUUUCGAAUCAUGAAGCUUCCGCUACUUGAAGAACUUGGUUUGUAAUAACUUUAAGCACUCCGAUGUAUUUUAUGAAUGUUGUAAUCUGGAUGUACUUGUGGAUGGCGACCGCUAAACUUAUUACGAUCUUGGCUGUAUGCGAUGUGUGGUUUGAAAUCCUUCGAGAUUUCACGGACUACCGGGAUUAUAUGGGCUUAAGCGUGAUGGUUCGACUAUGCAAAUGGUCACUAUUAGGCUUAAUCUCUUAUAAUUUGGUUGGUUCUGUUACAAGACACGACACUAGGGAAAGAGGUCAUGCGUUAGCUGAAAUUAAAAUGUCUUUGUACACAAGUACAAAGAGCACUUGUUCGGGGUUGUUCCUCACUUCUCAUUUCAGAUUUUGUGGCUAGCAUGACUAAAUGCUCUCCCUCUCCUUUCUUUUUCUCACUCAAAUUUGGCUUGUGGCACUCAAUUUCUUUUGCUCUCCUUCCUCUCUACUCAUUGGAACAAUUUCAGAUUUCUUUUGUAAAUGUUCAGCCAUGAUUUGUUGGGUGCCACAGGCUUGAGAACAAACUUCUUCCCUUUUAGAUUGAUAGUGAACUGAUUUGUUCUCCCACAAUGUUGGCUAUAUCAAUCAUAUUGCCAUGGUCUUCCAAGCAGCAAGUGACACACCGACAUAGGUGCCACAUUACAUUCUACUGUGUCAACAUAUUCACUAAUCUUGAAUGGAACGUUUACUUUAUAUCCAAUCUUGAUAUCUCCCGAAUCAUUCAGCCACUGUACGUGAUAUGGAUGAGGGUGUCGUAGCAGCUUCAAGCCAAUUUUAUCACCCAUCUCACGACUAGCAAGAUUAUGGUAGCUCCUUCCAACAAUAAUCACCUUCACCACUUUAUCAUGCCCCUUUGCUCUAGUUUGAAAUAAAUUUUGUCACUGCCCAAUUUUAGCUUCAUUUGCCUGAACACUGAAGAUUUGAGUCACCUCAAGAGCAGCUCCUUGAUCAAACUCACAACAAGUAAGGUCCUCGUCUCCAUGGGCUUCCUCCUCAAUUCCCUCUUCACUAGCUGAUUCAUACUUUCCAUCAUCAUUAACAAUGAUCACCUGAUUAUUGGGGCACUCCUUACUUAUAUUCCUAAGGCCUCCACACCUGAAGCUCUGAAUUCCACUACUCCUGGAAGUAGAACGCACUGAAGUAGUGGAUGAUGCUGCUGGUUUUGAAAUUGGGACAACAGUGUUCUUUCCACUAAAAGUACCCUGAAAAUUAGAUUGAGAGCCUCCACUUGAGCUUUUCACCGUGGACGGUUCAGCAGCAAAUUACUGAUUGAUUUGCUUCGUCCAGAGAAAUUCCUCAUGGAUGGUUCAGCAGCAAAUUUUGGCAUGGUAAAUUUCAGUUUGCCAAAUCUUUGUUCAUGGUUGCCUCUUCUAUGAUGUCGGCAACCAAAAUUGAGUUGGGAGUGGUUGUCAUCAUCCUCAUCUUCAGUUUCAUCAUCAUUUCUUCCACUAUGUCUUCUUCCUUUAGCAUGUUGUAACAUCCCUGAUGUUACGGUUACUAAAACUUGAUCAUUACAGCAUGAGCAUUGCAUAGCAUAUUGAUUAAGCACCACCUGAUGCAUCAAAUUAAAAUAAGUUUAUUUUGGUUGCUUGUGCUUAGGGAACUAAAGUGUGCAUAUAUGGUGAAAUGAUGCUAGCGUGGUUGUGAAAUCCCUUGUGUUGGAAGAUUCCGAGAAAAAGGGGGGGGCUGAUUUUAAAACCCUAGUUUUGCCCCCUUUUGUGCAAUUUAAAAAACUAAGCAAAAUUUGAGGUUGAGUGAAAAAGCAAAGUUGUAGAUCAUGUCAAGAUGUACAACUUUGGUGUUUUGAGUUUUUGAAGUUUCAAUACAAAAUUCAAAGUAAUUUUGAAAAUACAGAUUUCCAGAUAUUGUCCCCUUUUCCAAUUCGAAUCCUAAUUCAAAAUCUAUUUGGAAUCUUGAAAACUGACCAACAUGGAAGUUGUAGAGCUCAACAAAAUGAACAACUUUCAUUUUGGGAAUUUUUCAAGUUAUUGAGAAAAAUCAAAAGUAAUUUUGAAAUUUCUAAUCUGCCCCAAUUCAAAUAGGAAUUUCCCCAAAUUGGGAUUUUCGAAUUCAAACUGUUUUGCCCAAAUUCAAACUCUUCCACUCAGAAUUAGCUUUCGGCACUUAAAGAUGUUUUGUAGCUUUUAAAGUUCUGAACAACUUUUGUUUUGGUGGAAAUUUGACUUCCGUUCAAAUUUUGGAUGAAUUUUGCAAAAAACCAAAUCAAGGUGGAUAUGGAUGGCAACAGUGUCCUGAUGGGGAUCACAGGCGCCCCUGCCACCGUCCGCAGCGGCGAGCGCCACCGCGUGCGCGCGUGCGAGCACGUAGCUGCCCGCCUACCUGCGUCACCGAGCUACGUGGACGCCUCGGACUCGCUUCCCUCUAACCUUGAGCACCAGCACGGACGGCGUCGCGCGGUUUCCCAGCCCAAAGCCAGAGAACACCGACGACCCUCUCGCAAAUACACCGCACUCGAUCCAUCUCCAGCCAAAUUGAGCCUUCCACCACCUUCGCCAUGCUCUUGCGAACCCAGAGCGCUCUGUAGAACCCCUCUAACCCGCCCAAUCACCGGAACUUCCUCUUCGCCCCCAACUCCGGCCGGAACCGCCGCCAUGGAGCUUUUCUCAAUGCCACAUUGUUCCAGUAGGUGCCACGCCUUGCUAGCGGUUGUUUCAAGUUCCUCUCAUUCCCCAGAAGCACAUGCGCUUGCUCUUUCUCUCUGGACGCGAACAGGUUCACUCGAACGACCUCGCCGAAGCUAGAGUGCCAGCCCGGCGACACUGCCACCGUCGCCAGAGCCCUCAGCCGCUUCUCCCACCGUGGUGAUGCGAGCACCAUGCUCCCUACUCCUUCCCGAACCUCCCCGUUGUUGACACUUGCUAACACCACUUGAAUACUAGGUUGUCAUCCCCAGCAUGGCACUAGAGUGUACUAUGGUAUUUAUACGCACACAGAUAAUCCGCAAGCGCACGGAUACCGUUGAAGCUUUUACCCGGUUAAAGGUUUUAUCGUAUCCACAGGGAAACGGGAGAACUGAUCUACGCUCUAACUUAACCAAGAUAAGUAAAUAAGUGUAAAUAGGAAAGAUGGUAGAAUCGAAUAAGAACAAUAUUAAAGGUAAGAUAACAGUGAGUGAUAAUAUGGGAAUAGAGAAUAGAGCAAUUCUAGUAUAUGGGCGAUGGUAGCAGAAUAGAGAGGGUAACUAUGGUUUCUCUACUUCAAAGGGGUAUGUCUAUGUCUGGGACGAACCUUGCUGUUAGCAAGUGUCAACAACGGGGAGGUUCGGGAAGUGAGUGAUGACAUGUUUACUGUUGAACCUUGCUCCGAUGCCAACUGUCACGGAACCGUCCAAAUUAUAAGAGCACAAGUACAAAAACAAUCGCCGAAGUGAUCAAUUUAUCAUACUUGAGCCCAUAUAAUUCUGGUAGUCCAUCAAAAUCAUGAGGGAUUUCAAACCAACCAACAUACAAGCCAAGAUCGUAGUGAUUCAACAUAACAAGUCACACGUUACAUGCAUUUCACGAGUAGUUCAAGUAUAUCGGAGUUCGAUAAGAUUAUUACAACUCAAGUUUACAAAUAGCGGAAGCAAAGUAAUUUGAAACCAAUAUCACUUUUAUUUCAAAUACAUGCCAGUACCAUGGUCCAUUCCAACAAAAGCAUCAUAGAUGAGGUAAGUAGGAAGGAUCAUGCCCAUGAUCUUACUCCUUCCCUAAAGCAGGAGUCAUCCAAGUCUUGCAGUAGCUAUGAUACAUCACAACCUGCAACAAGUGGGAAUAAACCCUGAGUACGAGAAUGUACUCAGCUAGACUUACCCGUCAUAAACCAGAAAUAAAUGACACCAAGGAGUAUGCAAGGCUGAUAUAUAAGUGGAGCUUGUUGGACAACAUUUUGCAUAAAAAGCUUAAGUAUAAAGAGUUAAACCUUUCUUAUUUAGCAUCCAUUUAAUUCUCAUUAACCUAUCAACUAGAUUAGCACCUGUACUAUAGCAAUCACUUGAUUAAUAUCAAUCAAUAAUAACCAUAUCAGGUUUGUCAAGGCCGUCAUCAUCAUCAUCAUCAUCAUAGAACCAGUAAGUUAUUUAGUGAAUGCUACGUCUGCCGCUGCUCUGUCAAGUUCUCACUAUCCGGGAGAGACGGCGAUUCGAAUCGAUUCCUAUCCAGCUGGAGGGGUAUUCCUAGCACUCACCCAAGCAUCCCCCGUCGGAGAGCCAACGGGUCACCUUUGGUACGACUCAGGAAUCGCGGUUCCGAUCAGCGCCGCACUCCCAGGGCUACCACUCUGCCAGGGAGGUCAGGAAUUUUAACUCACCUGCCUUUGGACUUACGCCAAUGGUCCCCCGCACACCGCACUUCCUCCGGUAGUGCGCACUUUAUACUUGCCGGUCUUCCGGCCUGAGUCAUACUACUAGGCUUCGCGGUCGGAACGACUUAUCCGGCCAACUCAGUGUUAGGCAUGCGUUCAACAUGACAAGAGGACGUACAAAGAUCGGUCCUUAAUCGACACAGACGGGGAUAGAUCCACACCCAAGACCUCCAUGCCUUGUUGCGUCACUAUCAUCAUUCCGCCCGGUCUCCUUUCAUAUUAUUAACACAUGGUUCUUUUCCACGAUAGCAAAUAUAGCCAACCGUGAUCUGGAAUCCACCUAUAUCCUGCAGGUGACAGGAAAUCACCUGGCUUCUACCGAGCUAAGCAUGGCUAAGCAUAGACGUGAUCCUGACUAAUUAGGAUUCAGGUUAUAUAUAUACUGGACAAGGAAGGGUAUAUAUAUGCAGCAAGGGUUACAUCCAACCCCUAUACUUAAUGCAACAAUACAUAUAUAACAUAUAUAUACUCAUUCACUUUCAAAAAGUAGGAGGCUUAUAAUGGUCCAGGGCUUGCCUGGAAUGUGACACCAAGUCAGAUUAGUUAGCUUGCUCCGUCUUGGUGACAUCUAAGAUCAUAACACUUGCUUAAUCAUUCCAUCUCCGGGAUGAUCCACCAUCACGUCCUUCACGUGGUUCAUCUAGCGUACCUAGAUGACAUGCAAGAUGCAAGUGCAUGAACACAUGUUUCAUAGGAUCACAUAACACUAAUUAACACCACCAAGACAUGAGUCACUUAAAACCACACACAAUGUAAGUUAAUCAAGCAUUCAUGCAUUUUUAGAAAUUCUGGACAUACAUGCAACAGUUGAGUAAAUAAAUCAUAACCAGAGUUCUACAGACCCAAAAUCCAUGCAACAAGACAUUAUGGAAAGCUUAUAAAAUUAUAUACAAUUCAUAUUUAAUCAUCUUAGCAUGAUUAGAAAGUUACCUAAGUCAAACAUACAUAUUUACAGAAUCUGGUCCAGGAAUUCCAGAGAACAAGCAUUUUGACAGAUAAACUUUAUACCCUUAUAACUCACAAACCAUUUAUCCAAAUGAUAUGAAACUAUAACACAAGCGAGAUGAAAGAGUUAUCUACAACUUUUGUAUAGACAAGUUUCACAGCAAACAUAAUUUAUACUAUGGAAUUAAUUGCACAAUCAGGACUGCGCAUGUUGCCCCAAACAGUAGGGUACAAUUAUAGGCAGGAAAACUGAUAGGAACUUCAAACAAGCAUAACUGGAGUUGUAGCCCUCCAACAAACAUGAUUUUUAACUUCACAGAAAGCUUAUAAAGUUACCUACAACUUUCUUAUUCUCAUAUAAAGAUGAUUUCAUAGUUAACAAGAUCAAUUAACCCCAUGAAGACAUCUCUGUUCAAAGCAUAGACAGGACAUACCAUGCCACAUUAAACAGAUAUAACAUCAUUUUCACAUGUCCACAAAUUAUGAUUAUGGACUCUCUAGAAAUCUUAAUAAAUUGUGAACAACUUUGUUAUAAACAUCAAGAGCACAUUCUAUCACUAAAAAUAUCACACAUAGCAAUAUACCAAGCAAACAACUAUAAAAGCAAUCUAUCAUUUUUAGGACAGCCCACAACAGCUUCUUGUUUAAAUCAUAACUGGAGUUACAUAACUCCAAAAGACAUGCAAGAAGACAUUCUGGAAAGCUUACGAAAUUAUCUACAUUUGAUAUUUAGACAUCAAAGCAUGAUUCUCAACUUAAGCUGGUCGAAAUAUUAGGAUUACUGAAUCAGGUCGUAACAGGACAGAGAGCAACCAUUUCUGAAAUUCAACUUUGAACAGACAUAACUCACAAACCACAAGGCCAAAUACUACCAAAUUUUAACAGAAGCUAGAUAAAUGAAUUAUCUACAACUUUUCUAUAAACAAGACUCCCAGAAAACAUCAUUUACGUAUUGUAAUCCAAAUAGUUCCAAAAACUGUUUAGAAACAACAAUUGCACGCAAUUAAUUAUUAACUUAUGUUUCAAACAUGCAUUUGAGCAAAACCAUUGUUACCAACAGUUUGCACAUAUCUAAAGAACACCAGAAAACAUAGUGGUCAUUACCAAAUAAAUUUAUUUAAUGCAUUUCUUAAUUUAUUUGGACAAUAAGGUGAAUUAAAGAACAUAUAACAAAAGUGCUCAAUAACUUCCACCAAAAUUACAGUAGCUUCUAAACACUAUCCAUAGCCCACUGUAUAAAUUUCACUGCAUUUGAAUAAAGAUAUCAACAUCUAUGAAAAAGACAAAUUGCUAUUGCAAUUAACCAUGUGAGAACAAGAUAAAUCUAAAACUCACAUUUUCUUCAAACACAUGACCAUAAUAUAUAUCAACAUGAUACAACAAUAUCACAGAAUGGUAGUGGAACAACAUUUUCUAUUUUUACAUUUUAAUUUAUAAUUAUAAACUAUUUAUCAAGCCCUAAGAAAGUUAAAUUAAUAACUCAUUUAUACAGCACUCAAAAAUCCUAACACUUUUACCAGACAUCAAUCAUGACAUGAAUACCAAGCCACAAAAGUUUAACAUCAAUUGGAGCUCUACAGCAGCAGUUAUACAAACAGACAAACUCAACUAGUAUUAAAAACCUAGCUGCAAAAAUCAUUUUCCACAGCUAAAACUUUAACCUAAAACAUGGCAUAUUAUAGAUCAACUGCAAAGAGAAUUUCAUAAGGAUUCUAAAAAGUCUACAUUUGCUAAUUUACGAUUUGUCUAUGAUUUUAUAUUGAUUUUCAAAGUUCCAGCAUUUCUCCAAAACAAAUAGGUCCUCGAAGCACUAUUCAUAUGAGUCAUGAGUUCUGCAGAAAACCCCCUGGGUUUUGUCGAAUUUGACCCGUGGUCCUUGGUCGCGAGGAAAACAGAGGACCUCGCCGGAGCUCCCUGUUCCGGCCGGCUGAGGCCUCGUCGGCGGCGAUGGAGGGGUGGGGAAGCACCAGGAGGUCACCGCACACCCGCUGGUCGCCUUGGAUGGCCGGGAGAGGGCCCGUGGCGGCUUGGCCACGUGCACACGUCGGCGACGGCGGCGGUGGCCGGUGAUCGGCUGCUCCGGCGGUCUUCCACCUCGUCCGAGGGGCGCUGGGUGUAGAGGAGGAAGAGGCGGAGGCGGUGGUGAUGCUGGCUGAGCGUGGGAGCGCUUGGAUGAGAAGGAACAGCGGCGGCCAUGGAGCUCCAGGAGCUCAGCCAUGGCCAUGGCCGACAUGCUCCCGUCCCUGCGGUAGAGAGCGAAGGAAGGGGCGAGGAAGUGGAUGGGGAUGUCCGCCAGCGACCCAGCAGUCCAAAACACGACGAGGAGACGGCAGGCGCGCGUGGCAUGGAGGUGGGACGUGCUGCCCUUGCAUGACGACCACGUCGGCAUUCUGUCGAAUACGUGGCGCGCGCCGGAGUACACAGAGUGGGACGCGAAUUUGGACCCUUUCUGGGCCGAAUUUGGACAUGGGCCGAAAACGAAGUUUGCCAAGCUCGGCCUGCUCUCCAACUUUGAUUAAGAGUACAGAGCCAUUAGAGUUAUAGAUUAGUAGAUAAUUUGAUGCCAACCUUUGAGUGUCAAUGAAUUGAUAGUGAUUAGCAAAACUCGAAAUUGAUGACCAAAACAAAAUCAAACUGGUGUCACCUUUUGGCAUGUUCUAGCCCACAAUAUGUAAUCCAACUUUUAUUUUGGUACCCAAGCAAGUUGUUCAUAAGAAUUAGGAGAACGCGGGAUGCCAACAUGACGAACUGAAAUUCCAGACUUAGAAAUCCGAAAUGCUGGAAUUUACAGCAGAUUCGAUCUUGUGACUAUUAUUUGACAGGCUUAGAAGAUGAUUCGGACUUGGUCACUUUAACAAAGUUUGUAGCAUACAAACUAUACUACAACUUUUAUUAAAGACCUUAUACUGUUUCUGCCUGGUUAGUAAGAUACAAGGCUCCCAACUAGGGUACCCGAACCUGAGCACCUUGAGGACUUAGCCAAAUUUUGUGAGAUCCAAAACAACACUGCAUUGAAUCUUGUGAGCUUAAUUUCACUAGGAUAGGUACCAAACUGGCUCUUGACCUUUAAAUAAAGUUUGUUCUACAGAAGCAAAACUACAACUUUUAUUUAAGGUCCAACCUCAUAACUGGUACUGAAGUCAAACUUUAACUUUGGUCAAAGUAUCAACUUGAUAAAGCUCAAACUAGAAUUUUAGAGCAAAUAAAGCAUUUUCUUGGCACAAGCUCAACAUGAACCCUUCAUGACUUUUGUUGUAGAGUUCAUCUAGAGUCAUUUGGUCAAGAUUGCAAGGUUAGGUUAGUAACCUAAGGUUCCGUUCACUUGAUAAGGUCAUUCCAACAAGCAUGUAACUUAUCCUUUCAUUUGACCUUUUGAAUCCAAACUUCAUAAAACUUUUUGAGUGAUCAACCUGGGUAGAGAUGGAGAUGAUACACAUGAAAGAAGCACCAUCAGCACCCACAAGCUUUACUAUGCAGGAUCAUCAAGCAUUCACUUGUCGCCACAUCAAAGUAUGUUUCAUACUAUCAUAUAUGGACAAAUGAUGCUUAUGCUCAUGAAAUGUAAGUGCCAAAACGCAAGACAAACACCUGGGGUGUUACAGCCCUCCCCCCUUAAAAAUAAUCUUGUCCCAAGAUUCGGUGCGAAAGACUUUCAAGGGAAGAGAAACAAUGUCAUGCAUUUCCGAACCUCAACGGUAGCAUUUGAACAUCAGAGAAGCUAAGUUGGACAAAAAGUUUUCUGAUACUUACUUUUCAUAGUAAACUUUGGUCUGAAGAUGAAGCAUUGUUACUUUGGGAGGAAUCCAAGAAAGCAUUGUCCUGUGCACUUUGUGCUCAAAGUAUGAAGGGUGGUUCAGAGCAUAAGGAGCUACCUAUAUCAUCAAUAUCUUUAGUGAAACUAAUACAAACCAUAAGAACCUUGCACCAAGUCACAAGCUUCUAAGGGUUUCUCAUUAUAUUGGUUCCAGGCUCAUUCACAACAUUUGAAAACUAGUCUUCUACCAAAAUGGUUGGAGUACAACUUUCCAAGCAUGCAGUUCUCUUUCUCUGAUGACAAAAUUGUACUUACCAACCUGGUUGAGGGAACGAUGAAUGUGAUAGCUGACUUUGUGGGUUCAACACAUUCCAUGAUCAUUUACUUCAAGGGGAUCCUCGUAUGCAAACAACAAAAGUUAUUUGGGUGGAAUCAGGUGCAACUUCUUAGGUAACACAUAGAAGGUAUCCAAGACAUGUAGGUAUUGGAUAACCACUACUGAAGAAGGAUGAUUGUGUGACCCAAAGGUCUCCAACAGUUGCAAGUAUUCAACCAAUUACCACUCAAUUCUGCAUGAAGCUUGAUAAAUUUCAGAUCCAUGCGUCUUCUCACCUCUGACCAAAAUUCAGCUCAAACAGGCAACAUUUGCAUAAGCAGAACAUGUACAUACUAAACUUGUUUGGUGCUGCAAUGGCAGUGUUGUGGACUGACAAGACAUCUCUCAACUCCAUGUUUAAUUCACUUUCUCAUAAAACAUAUCCCUUGUGGCUAUCACUCCAUCAUUACUUUCCUUAAGAUUAGCCUUGCUACUAGCAACCAAUCAAUUGCCUCUCAGCCCAAUAUUUUCCAAAGCUUCACUCUUAACCACAACAAUUACGGCUGAUGCUCAACAAUUGGUAACCUCCAAAGCUAGGAGAUAAGGAUUCAUGCCUCUUGGUUGACUUUAGCUGUCACCAUGAUGCACAUAAAGAUAAAGACUUAGGAAAACUUGGUCAUAAGCACAAUGGUGAUGAUCGAUGAUUGUUUAACAGAUAACUUGUCCAACAUUAAGUGUUGGGUGUCCUUUUGGUUCGAUGAGGAUGACUCAUGGUGUUCACUUAAUGCUCAUCGUCAUUGUAGGGAUAGUGAAAUACUGCCAGUUGUCUACCAUCUCUUACAGUCAGUUAGUUUUUAUGUCAGUGACUUGUUCUUCAAAGGUUAACCUCUAGUUGACUUCAGAAGAAUGGCCUAUGAGGUCUGGUUGGAUAUAGGGAAAUUUCGAUAUGAUAUGGUGAGAUUUUCAAGGGAAAAGUCACAAGAAGACAUUUCAUUGGUAUAGUUCCAUAAUGGAUCACGACUAGAAACCUCGAUACCAGCGCGUGCCGAGCAGCACAUCCUUGUGUCGGCCGCCCACAAGAGGCUCUCGGUUUCGUCGCGGCACCGUUAGCUAUUGCUCAUGACACCAUUAUUGAUCAUGUACUCAAUGAAAAUUUUCAUGUGGCACAAAAGUUGGUUGUAUGAACAAGCAUUGUGCUUAGGAGGGAUAGCAAAGCAAAGGUAGUCACAAGGUUGGGAGUCAACAUGGAAGUGACCUGAAGAUCCAAAACACAACACAGGAGAACAUAUCUUACUUGUCGAAGACAACUGAUCAUGGAUCUUGCUUUAAUUUCCACAAAAUCAUUGUGUUAACCAAGAUAGUUACCAGAUAAAUGAUUAACAUGAGAUCAUGACUGAUAAUAUUUAAGAUUAGGGAGAAUUGGAGGUUCAAUAAACGAGAUUCAAGAGACCAAGCUGAUACUUAGAUUAGGGCUUCAUCAACACAGCAGCAACAUGAUCUGUCAUGAAAAGAUUAUGAGGCUCAUGCAACAACAGAUAAGCAUUGCACUAGAUCCACUAUAGGACAGGGAACCAAGUGGUCUGAAAGGAUUCUUGGGGUAAGGUUUUCGCACAUAGAAGGAAGACACCCAAGACAUAAGCAAGCAUGUGAGAACAUAGAUGAAAUUAUCUCCAGCAACCAUUACUAAAAGCAAAGGUUGUAGAUAGUAAACAGAACAUGAUGGGAAUGUGUUGUUAUCCUUUAUUGAGUAGGUGCAUACUCUUCUUAAGUCGAGAAGAUAAAUCUCACUUAUGUCCAAAAAGGCCAGCCAUCUCAAACAUAUGCAUCAUGUUGACAGAUGGCACAGAUUGACCAAAACAUAAGCAAGCCAUUGAGAUAGAUAAAAGGGUAACCUAGUUAAAUGGGUAGCAAGCACAAGAGCUGAAGAAUGUUCUUUAGAAAGAUACUCACUAAGAUGAUUGCAGUUAGGAUACAACAUGAAUAUGGUGUACCCCACUAACUGUGAGCAUACCUCCUUCUACAUGCACGUGUGCAUGUGGUUCAAGGAUUUAGGUAAUUAUGACAUUGAUGCAUAACCAAUCCAGUAAGUUGCAUGAUUAAGAAUGAUUGGCAUCAUGAUAUGAGAUUCAUGAUUUGACAAAUAACCAUUAUGCAACCCAACAUCUGGUUCUUAGGACAAGGAUCAUGAUACGAGAUUGUACCACAAAGUUGGUAGAUAUGAUCAUGUCUUUAGGAACAGGAUGAUUUUUUUUAGUAGCAAAGUGUCCAAAAGAAUUUGGGCAAAGCUCAAACCAGGACAUAUCAUGGGCAAAAGUUGAUAUUCAAGAAAACCCAAUGAGGUUUGGUUAGGUACAGAUGCACAAGCUCAUGUGUUCUAAGCAAGAAGGUGUACUUGAGGCAACUUAUGAGAUAAGCACAAUGAUAAGGCUUGAUGACAACUCUUGGUCUCACCGAGGACAAGAGGUUAGACAACUUGUGCUGCAACCACACCUAGAAAGCAAGGCAACCACACAUAAAAAGAACUACUGUGUAGGUAACAAAAAGGAAGAACCUAACACCAAGCAUAGCUACUCAAGCAACAUACAACAAGGCAUUUUAUCUAACUUUACACAAGCAAAGUGACAUCAUAUUAAUUCACAAGUUACUUAUUGUUAGAACAAGGGUGACAAGAGCAAAGUUAUGCAUAGGGCAAUCAAUCAUGAUGAUGCAUGCUUCGUCCUAUUCGUCCUCACAAAAUUACCAGCCUAAGGUGGUAAUCACGUUCUAUAUCGGUGGCAUAAUACGCACACUCUCGACAUAUAGCUAGUCGUUAGCUACAAACAAUCUACGCAUUCGUGGUUAGCGUACCUGCAGAAAAUUUCAUUUCAGCCCAACCGAACAAUGAUAUAAGUGCAUGAAAUGAAAUACUAGACUAUAGGUUGAAAGCUAGAUGCUUCCAUAUAUAUAUAUAUAUCCCAAUAUAUAUAUUUCAGCAUCAAACUACCCGAAAUGAGAUACGCCUAUACAUACAUAGCGACAUGUAUAUAUGGCCAUACCACUAACCCACAAUUAAGUACCUUCAUAUAUACAUGCGUGUAACAUGUAAAUAUUCCAGUAACCAAAGCUAGCUCUCCCCUAGAUCGACGGUUGGACGAUCAUGCUCUCACAACUCACACUUACCUGAGCGUAGGUGCGACAUUGCAAAAUUUGAAUCUAUCAACAUAUAUGGCUAAUUCAUAUAUGAGGGCUACCUCUACCAUUUGACCACAGGGUAGCAUAGUGCGGUCAUCAUACAUACAUACCUUGGCCUGGGCGUCGAUGUAAAUUGAUCCAUACAUUACCACUCAAGUGAAUGGCAUCCAUACAAUAGCACGCCGUAUGGACGACGAAAUAAAAAUUGCAGUAUGUAAAUCCCCCCAUAGUUAGUACUUAACUUAGCCACCUAAAGGUCCUUAGUUGGGCAUAGAGGAAUGACCACUGGCAUACUUAGAUUAAAAGUUUAGAUUUGAACACACCUAUAUAUAGCUAUAUGUUACCAAAACUGAUUUUUUUAUACAGAAAAGUUUUGUUUCAAAUACACAUGUGACAUGUUUACUGCUGAACCUUGCUCCGAUGCCAGCUGUCACGGAAACGUCCAAAUUAUAAGAGCACAAGUACAAAAACAAUCGCCGAAGUGAUCAAUUUAUCAUACUUGAGCCCAUAUAAUUCCGGUAGUCCAUCAAAAUCACGAGGGAUUUCAAACCAACCAACAUACAAGCCAAGAUCGUAGUGAUUCAACAUAACAAGUCACACGUUACAUGCAUUUCACGAGUAGUUCAAGUAUAUCGGAGUUCGAUAAGAUUAUUACAACUCAAGUUUACAAAUAGCGGAAGCAAAGUAAUUUGAAACCAAUAUCACUUUUAUUUCAAAUACAUGCCAGUACCAUGGUCCAUUCCAACAAAAGCAUCAUAGAUGAGGUAAGUAGGAAGGAUCAUGCCCAUGAUCUUACUCCUUCCCUAAAGCAGGAGUCAUCCAAAUCUUGCAGUAGCUAUGAUACAUCACAACCUGCAACAAGUGGGAAUAAACCCUGAGUACGAGAAUGUACUCAGCUAGACUUACCUGUCAUAAACCAGAAAUAAAAGACACCAAGGAGUAUGCAAGGCUGAUAUAUAAGUGGAGCUUGUUGGACAACAUUUUGCAUAAAAAGCUUAAGUAUAAAGAGUUAAACCUUUCUUAUUUAGCAUCCAUUUAAUUCUCAUUAACCUAUCAACUAGAUUAGCACCUGUACUAUAGCAAUCACUUGAUUAAUAUCAAUCAAUAAUAACCAUAUCAGGUUUGUCAAGGCCGUCAUCAUCAUCAUCAUCAUAGAACCAGUAAGUUAUUUAGUGAAUGCUACGUUUGCCGCUGCUCUAUCAAGUUCUCACUAUCCGGGAGAGACGACGAUUCGAAUCGAUUCCUAUCCAGCUAGAGGGGUAUUCCUAGCACUCACCCAAGCAUCCCCGUCGGAGAGCCAACGGGUCACCUUUGGUACGACUUAGGAAUCGCGGUUCCGAUCAGCGCCGCACUCCUAGGGCUACCACUCUGCCAGGGAGGUAAGGAAUUUUAACUCACCUGCCUUUGGACUUACGCCAAUGGUCCCCGCACACCGCACUUCCUCCGGUAGUGCGCACUUUAUACUUGCCGGUCUUCCGGCUUGAGUCAUACUACUAGGCUUCACGGUCGGAACGACUUAUCCGGCCAACUAAGUGUUAGGCAUACGUUCAACUUGACAAGAGGACGUACAACGAUCGGUCCUUAAUCGACACAGACGGGGAUAGAUCCACACCCAAGACCUCCAUGCCUUGUUGCGUCACUAUCAUCAUCCCGCCCGGUCUCCUUUCAUAUUAUUAACACAUGGUUCUUUUCCACGAUAGCAAAUAUAGCCAACCGUGAUCUGGAAUCCACCUAUAUCCUGCAGGUGACAGGAAAUCACCUGGCUUCUACCGAGCUAAGCAUGGCUAAGCAUAGACGUGAUCCUGACUAAUUAGGAUUCAGGUUAUAUAUAUACUGGACAAGGAAGGGUAUAUAUAUGCAGCAAGGGUUUCAUCCAACUCCUAUACUUAAUGCAACAAUACAUAUAUAACAUAUAUAUACUCAUUCACUUUCAAAAAGUAGGAGGCUUAUAAUGCUCCGGGGCUUGCCUGGAAUGUGACACCGAGUCAGAUUAGUUAGCUUGCUCCGUCUUGGUGACAUCUAAGAUCAUAACACUUGCUUAAUCAUUCCAUCUCCGGGAUGAUCCACCAUCACGUCCUUCACGUGGUUCAUCUAGCGUACCUAGAUGACAUGCAAGAUGCAAGUGCGUGAACACAUGUUUCAUAGGAUCACAUAACACUAAUUAACACCACCAAGACAUGAGUCACUUAAAACCACACACAAUGUAAGUUAAUCAAGCAUUCAUGCAUUUUUAGCAAUUCUGGACAUACAUGCAACAGUUGAGUAAAUAAAUCAUAACCAGAGUUCUACAGACCCAAAAUCCAUGCAACAAGACAUUAUGGAAAGCUUAUAAAAUUAUAUACAAUUCAUAUUUAAUCAUCUUAGCAUGAUUAGAAAGUUACCUAAGUCAAACAUACAUAUUUACAGAAUCUGGUCCAGGAAUUCCAGAGAACAAGCAUUUUGACAGAUAAACUUAAUACCCUUAUAACUCACAAACCAUUUGUCCAAAUGAUAUGAAACUAUAACACAAGCGAGAUGAAAGAGUUAUCUACAACUUUUGUAUAGACAAGUUUCACAGCAAACAUAAUUUAUACUAUGGAAUUAAUUGCACAAUCAGGACUGCACAUGUUGCCCCAAACAGUAGGGUACAAUUAUAGGCAGGAAAACUGAUAGGAACUUCAAACAAGCAUAACUGGAGUUGUAGCCCUCCAACAAACAUGAUUUUUAACUUCACAGAAAGCUUAUAAAGUUACCUACAACUUUCUUAUUCUCAUAUAAAGAUGAUUUCAUAGUUAACAAGAUCAAUUAACCCCAUGAAGACAUCUCUGUUCAAAGCAUAGACAGGACAUACCAUGCCACAUUAAACAGAUAUAACAUCAUUUUCACAUGUCCACAAAUUAUGAUUAUGGACUCUCUAGAAAUCUUAAUAAAUUGUGAACAACUUUGUUAUAAACAUCAAGAGCACAUUCUAUCACUAAAAAUAUCACACAUAGCAAUAUACCAAGCAAACAACUAUAAAAGCAAUCUAUCAUUUUUAGGACAGCCCACAACAGCUUCUUGUUUAAAUCAUAACUGGAGUUACAUAACUCCAAAAGACAUGCAAGAAGACAUUCUGGAAAGCUUAAGAAAUUAUCUACAUUUGAUAUUUAGACAUCAAAGCAUGAUUCUCAACUUAAGCUGGUCGAAAUAUUAGGAUUACUGAAUCAGGUCCUAACAGGACAGAGAGCAACCAUUUCUGAAAUUCAACUUUGAACAGACAUAACUCACAAACCACAAGGCCAAAUACUACCAAAGUUUAACAGAAGCUAGAUAAAUGAAUUAUCUACAACUUUUCUAUAAACAAGACUCCCAGAAAACAUCAUUUACGUAUUGUAAUCCAAAUAGUUCCAAAAACUGUUUAGAAACAACAAUUGCAAGCAAUUAAUUAUUAACUCAUGUUUCAAACAUGCAUUUGAGCAAAACUAUUGUUACCAACAGUUUGCACAUAUCUAAAGAACACCAGAAAACAUAGUGGUCAUUACCAAAUAAAUUUAUUUAAUGCAUUUCUUAAUUUAUUUGGAUAAUAAGGUGAAUUAAAGAACAUAUAACAAAAUUGCUCAAUAACUUCCACCAAAAUUACAGUAGCUUCUAAACACUAUCCAUAGCCCACUGUAUAAAUUUCACUGCAUUUGAAUAAAGAUAUCAACAUCUAUGAAAAAGACAAAUUGCUAUUGCAAUUAACCAUGUGAGAACAAGAUAAAUCUAAAACUCAUAUUUUCUUCAAACACAUGACCAUAAUAUAUAUCAACAUGAUACAACAAUAUCACAGAAUGGUAGUGGAACAACAUUUUAUAUUUUUACAUUUUAAUUUAUAAUUAUAAACUAUUUAUCAAGCCCUAAGAAAGUUAAAUUAAUAACUCAUUUAUACUGCACUCAAAAAUCCUAAAACAUUUACCAGACAUCAAUCAUCACAUGAAUACCAAGCCACAAAAGUUUCACUUCAAUUGGAGCUAAACAGCAGCAGUUAUACAAAUAUACAAACUCAACUAGUAUUAAAAACCUAGCUGCAAAAAUCAUUUUCCACAGCUAAAACUUUAACCUAAAACAUGGCAUAUUAUAGAUCAACUGCAAAGAGAAUUUCAUAUGGAUUCCAAAAAGUCUACAUUUGCUAAUUUACGAUUUUUCUAUGAUUUGAUAUUGAUUUUCAAAGUUCUAGCAUUUCUCCAAAACAAAUAGGUCCUCGAAGCACUAUUCAUCUGAGUCAUGACUUCGGCAGAAAACCCCCUGGAUUUUGUCGAAUUUGCCACCGUGGUCCUUGGUCGCGAGGAAAAUAGAGGACCUCGCCGGAGCUCCCUGUUCCGGCCGGCUGAGGCCUCGUCGGCGGCGAUGGAGGGGUGGGGAAGCACCAGGAGGUCACGGCACACCCGCUGGUCGCCUUGGAUGGCCGGGAGAGGGCCCGUGGCGGCUUGGCCACGUGCACACGUAGGCGACGGCGGCGGUGGCCGGUGAUUGGCUGCUCCGGCGGUCUUCCACCUCGGCCGAGGGGCGCUGGUUGUAGAGGAGGAAGAGGCGGAGGCGGUGGUGAUGCUGGCUGAGCGUGGGAGCGCUUGGAUGAGAAGGAACAGCGGCGGCCAUGGAGCUCCAGGAGCUCAGUCAUGGCCAUGGCCGACAUGCUCCCGUCCCUGCGGUGGAGAGCGAAGGAAGGGGCGAGGAAGUGGAUGGGGAUGUCCGCCAGCGACCCAGCAGUCCAAAACACGACGAGGAGACGGCAGGGGCGCGUGGCAUGGAGGUGGGACGUGCUGCCCUUGCAUGACGACCGCAUCGGCAUUCUGUCGAAUACGUGGCGCGCGCCGGAGUACACAGAGUGGGACGCGAAUUUGGACCCUUUCUGGGCCGAAUUUGGACAUGGGCCGAAAACGAAGUUUGCCAAGCUCGGCCUGCUCUCCAACUUUGAUUAAGAGUGCAAAGCCAUUAGAGUUAUAGAUUAGUAGAUAAUUUGAUGCCAACCUUUGAGUGUCAAUGAAUUGAUAGUGAUUAGCAAAACUCGAAAUUGAUGACCAAAACAAAAUCAAACUAGUGUCACCUUUUGGCAUGUUCUAGCCCACAAUAUGUACUCCAACUUUUAUUUUGGUACCCAAGCAAGUUGUUCAUAAGAAUUAGGAGAACGCGGGAUGCCAACAUGACGAACUGAAAUUCCAGACUUAGAAAUCCGAAAUGCUGGAAUUUACAGCAGAUUCGAUCUUGUGACUAUUAUUUGACAGGCUUAGAUGAUGAUUCGGACUUCGGCACUUUAACAAAGUUUACAUCAUACAAACUAUACUACAACUUUUAUUAAAGGACCUUAUACUGUUUCUGCUUGGUUAGUAAGAUACAAGGCUCCCAACUAGAGUACCCGAACCUGAGCACCUUGAGGACUUAGCCAAAUUUUCUGAGAUCCAAAACAACACUGCAUUGAAUCUUGUGAGCUUAAUUUCACUAGGAUAGGUACCAAACUGGCUCUUGACCUUUAAAUAAAGUUUGUUCUACAGAAGCAAAACUACAACUUUUAUUUAAGGUCCAACGUCAUAACUGGUACCGAAGUCAAACUUUAACUUUGGUCAAAGUAUCAACUUGAUAAAGCUCAAACUAGGAUUUUAGAGCAAAUAAAGCAUUUUCUUGGUACAAGCUCAACAUGAACCCUUCAUGACUUUUGUUGUAGAGUUCAUCUAAAGUCAUUUGGUCAAGAUUGCAAGGUUAGGUUAGUAACCUAAGGUUCCGUUCACUUGAUAAGGUCAUUCCAACAAGCAUGUAACUUAUCCUUUCAUUUGACCUUUUGAAUCCAAACUUCAUAAAACUUUUUGAGUGAUCAACCUAGGUAGAGAUGGAGAUGAUACACAUGAAAGAAGCACCAUCAGCACCCACAAGCUUUACUAUGCAGGAUCAUCAAGCAUUCACUUGUCGCCACAUCAAAGUAUGUUUCAUACUAUCAUAUAUGGACAAAUGAUGCUUAUGCUCAUGAAAUGUAAGUGCCAAAACGCAAGACAAACACCUGGGCUGUUACACCUACCACACGAUCCAGCUAGACAGGGGAUAUCCACAAGUAAUCUAGAUCUAAGCACCUCGCUUACACCUAUACUACAACUCUCACCUAUAGCGUCCUAUAGAUUAGAAUACUCAAAAGAGUUGUGAACCAGAACAUACAUAAUUAGUAAUUGCAUAAUGAAUUAGAAGUAGAUUACCAGAGUCAUCCCAUGAGCAAGCUUGAUUAGAGCUUGAUCAUGACGAAGUACAACCGGAGGAAGAACCGACAGGCCGGCCUCUCCUCUAAUCCUCCUUCGCUCUCUAUCUCGCUACUAUCUAGAUCUACUCUAGUUUAGAGAAGAGAGAAGAGCUCUCAUCUCUAAAUCCUAGCUUUUGCUCUGUCUAUGAAUAAUGAAUAAUGAUCAAGGGGUGCCUCCUCCAGGGUCCAGGGGGUCUGGUUAUAUAGUCCCCUCAAGUGAACCUGGGCCGUCGGAUUAAACCGACAUUGAUUGAACGGUUAUUCUUGAUCCUUUAGGUCGGUGUAGAUCUCCCGAGAGAAAGAGUCCUGAUUGGGCUCCAAGUCAGGGUGGGCGCCCAGGGCAGGAGGGCGGGCGCCCUGCCUCUGGCCCCGUUCGGCCUCCGCUUCCUUCCCGUGGCUUCUGGAGUCUUCUAGAUGUAAGAUAAUUGCGCGGCACGUUAAUAUCUCUAUGUAAUCCCGACGUGUGGGCCUUUCUUCCGUAUUUCCUGAUAACCCCCUGCAGAAAUAGACAAACACCAAAACUCAUGGAAUUCUGUCAGAUAAAACCCCAAGUCUAGAUGUUAAUUUCAUUUGGAUCCUUUUCUUUGUUUAUUUGAUAAUUAAAUUUGAUACUUAAGGACCGUCAACAAACUCCCCCAAGCUUUCCUCUUGCUCGUCCCUGAGCAAGGAUAGACUCAGCAAUGGAUCAGAAGUUGUUGCAAUAUCUUCAAAAUUUGACGGUACACAUGCUUUUAAAGAAGAUCUCAUCUCUGAGUUAGAGUAAACUGUCAAGAACUAGAACUUACUUACUUUAUCUUUCACCAUGGGACUUGUAACCGUCACUUCUGUCUUGAGUAGUUAAAAGAUAGAACAGUCUAGCCAAGUGCCAUGUCUCUUAUUCUUGAUCAGCUAUAGCUCUGGAGUUUUUGCAGAUUUUCAAAUAAAACUCAGAGAUUCCUUGUAUGACUCUCUAAAUCUCUCUUUUGUGGUAUUUCUGGAUCCUUACCAAGGCAGUGAUGGUAUAUGCCUUCUCUCAAGAUAUGUGGUAUUUGUGGUAUAAGGCAUAGUGACAUUGCCUUCUCUCUCACCCUACUCUAAUAAGGCUUUAAUAUCUGGGGCUCAUAGGUGGAAGACAGCUAAUACAUACUUACAAGACAUUUAUUGCAUAGUCAAACCAUGGAUCUAGAGAAACAAGUCAAUAAGCCAAAUCAAGAUGUUCUUGUGUGGCGAAUGAAUGGUGUAUGGUGAUGAUGGUGAUAACAAUGGUGAAAGUCUAAUUCUACUUCUGCUCUUUUGUGGGUAUACAUACCUUCCUUGCUUUUUGAAACUUUAUAAGGAGAAUGAGAUGCUCUUCUUUUUAUUUUCUCUCUGGUGGGUAUCUUGUACCCCUAAUUCUACUGUCAGACACUUGUCCAUUUUUACCUCUCGUCUCACUUUUUCUUUUCUUUCGAGGUUCCGGGCAAUUGCCCCUUUUUAUUUCCUCCUUUAUUAUUUUUUUUCUUUUUUUUCUUUUCAGAGCACUCAUCUCUUGAGAUAAUAUAGCAAGUGGUAGUAGCAAGAUAACUUGAGCAUUUAUUUCACAAGGGAAAACAGAAAUAUUUUUGGCUAUUCUCUCUCGGAUUAGGAGUUGAAUAUUUUUGGGUGGUUCUGGAGAUGGAAAUGAGUGGAUAUAUGUGGAUGGUACUUCCGGAGUAGAAGUAGCCUAUAUGAGUGAAUGUGCAAGUGAAACCUUGAUUUAACCACAUGACAAGCUCCUAAAGGUCUACACAGCUUGACCACACUCAAUGCUCAUAAGCAAUAAAUAGUAAAUGUGUGGCUCAAAGUCUAGCAAGCAUGUAUAUAUGGCUGUGGUAGGAAUUUAAACUCUCAUCAUACAGGAACUCAUCAUGCAAUAUUUUAAUGAUUUUUCAAAGAUAAAAUUCUCUAGAAUUUUAGCAUCUCUAGGAACAGAUAAACAGCAGCUCAACCUUCCCAUAUCAUAUCCGUUAACAACUUAGAUUUCAGAUCAAGUUUUCAUCCCACAAGUUUAGAUCUAGAGCAAGCUUUUAAUUAUAACAGUUAUGUCUAAACUUGAGAGAGAACUUCAAAUUUGCAAAUUAGGCAGAGCAACUAUUCAUCAUAUCCAUGCUAGAGUUUUAUUAUUAAGAUUCAGAUUAGCAUAGCCACUUUAUUUAUUUAUUAAACACACUAAGCAAAAGAUAUAUAUAUAAGCACAAAAUCUUUAUUUAGUUUUUCAUAGUUUAUGUAUUUUAAUAUUCUAAUAUAAUAUAAGUAUAAAGAUAGGUAGAAAUACUUAGCGAGAUAAAUGGGGGUGCUCACCCCCAAGCUGAAUUUUGACGUAAUUUCUCUUGAUGUAGCUAGCAGGUGGCAGAGGUGUAUUUGAAAGUCAGCAGCAUUCUGACAGAGAUUAGAAUGUCCUCCGUCUUCUUGAUUUUAAAUUAUGUGGAGCUCAAAUAGACAACAAAGCUUGUGGAACUAAUUAAGUGUUAGCAUAAAUAUCUAGCCUUCAUCAUGUUGAGCUUCCUCAAUAAAUAUUACUCCCUGUUUUUAUAUUUUUAUUUUAUAAAGCAGAAAAGAAAUAUUUAUUUUAUUUUUAUGCCACCACAGUGAAGGUACUUAUGGGUUUUAUGCCACUCGUAUACUUACAUGGGGCUUAAUAUUUUUAAACAUUUUUAAUUUCUUUUUAAGAUAGCAUGAUUAACUAACAAGCUAUUUAAGGAAAGUAAGUAAUUAAAGGGAAAAGGGAAUGCAAAAAGGAUAAAUAUGGAUAACUACCGAUUUUACCUUUCGGCGAGGGUUCAAUGUUUUAAGUCUUCUUAACAAGACUUCUCACCGUGUUCAUUCUUCAAGUGCGUCAUUUGAUUCAGGUGCGGACCUUGACGUCUGCACCUCUUCGUUUGCCCAGCAGUUCGAAGUGCGGUGUUAGCAGUAUCCUGUUGAGUGUGUUUGUGCUCGUAGAUCCAGGUCCUUCACUUGGUAGAGUCUGAGAGUUAUAAAACUCCUCCAUGUUUUGCUCAAAGUGUACUGGCUCAUAGAGACAAGGCAGAGAUCAAGUGCAUGGGUCCUGUUCGUGGAAAACACCAACAGAACCUAAAGUGUAUUUGUUCUUCUCUAACCCUAAGCAUAGUGAGCAAGACAAAGUUGAUGGAUGAAAAGUUCAUGAGUGUAGCACUUAUAACAUUUGUCAGAUCAGAUCGCUCAACCUUAUGGAAAGAUAAUCUAUCUAUGUAUAUGUAUUUUUCUUUAUAUCUCUCAAUGAUUGAAUGUGUAACAUUUUAGCUCAUAUGAUUAGGAGUGUGGGAUCAUGGAGGUAGUACUAAGAACAAGGAUUAAAGGACUAAACAUGUUGAAUCAGUUGGGUUGGUUAAUCUAGAGUUGUAAAUCAUACAUGUUUGUCUCUUUUAUUUAUAUGAAUGCCAGAACCAAGGAGAAGCUUAUAAAAGUGAUAGUCAAGUAACUUAAGAUGUUACCUUGCUUGAAGAGUGAUGGUACAGUAUCACCAUGUGGAAGCUUUCCUUUCUUAGCGGUUGUGCAUCGUGUUUGUGGCACCCUCCAUGGAUCAUCCCUCUAUGAUGAAUGAGCUAUGUCCUUCUUGUGCAAAUUGUUAAACUUCAUGUGUCACUCUCUUCGUCUCUGAUGUGAGUUUGUCUCAGGACUUCCCAAAUCGAUAUUGAAAGUUUUUCUGCAGGGGUUAGUCCGACAAAAAUAUACCAAUGUCUACACAAGCAGUUUUUAGUUCAAUAACCAAACU